CCGUCGUGGUAGUGCUCAUGGAGGAUGGCCGGCGCGAGAGAGUGUGAGAGACGCCUUGUUGAUGGGGUCAUGUUUGGUGUCUUUCUUCCUUGUUUUGCUUCGUUGAUCGUCCUGCAUCGAGUAGGUGAAGUUGGCCGCGAGUUUCGGCAUAUGAUGAACUUGCUUUGGUGGUGAAAUUGGUCAUGAAAUUCUGUUGAUUUCAUCAAAUUUGGCAUAUGAUGAACUGAUUUGGUGCUGAAAUUGGUCAUGAAACCUUCUUGAUCUCCUUAAUUUUGGCGUACUAGAGUAGCUUGGUGAAACUGGUCAUUAACUUUAUUGAUUUAGUGGUGAAAUUUGUCAUGAACUUUGUUUAUUGUAUCAAGUUUGGCCUGAUGAACUACUUUGAUUGUCUUAAGCCAGUCUCGCCUGUCUAUCUUUUCUCGUCCUUGAUCUGUAUUGCUUUAAGCUUUCUGCAAAAAGCUGUGCAUUCAUGCCAACUCUCUGAAAAUUUGACUGGUCUCCUCGAGUUUGACGUCAUGGAGUUGGUGAACUGGCAGUUACAGGUUGUGCUUAUCCUUGAAUUAUUUGUGCUGAAAUUUUUGCUGGUCUGAUCUCCUCGAAUUUUGUUUGCUUAUCCUUGAGUUUAACUUCGUGUAAAAACCUGCAUCUGUUCCAGUUUGUAGUUGUAGGGUUCUUGCGUGGACUGUCACAAUGGAUAGGCGUUUGUUUCUUUAUGUCCUGCUUCGUUGAUCUUCACAAUGGAUAGGGCUCCCUCCCUGAAUGUUUUGUGUUUAUCCUCUGUGUUAACUUCUUGACAUUAUCAACUAUACUUUGGUGGAGCAGUUGAUCCUGAACUCUGUUGAUUUUCCAAGAAUAAAAAAGUGUGAUGAACUACUUUGCUGGUGAAAAUUCGUCAUUAAACUUUGUUGAAUCGUCAUUGAAUUAGCAAGUACACUACUUUUUUCAUGUGAGGCCAACAGUUGAUUGCACAAAUAACAAAAUGCAAAAAUGUGACUCCACUCAAAUUACGCACAUAAGUUAUGACCGUACUCCUAAUAUUUUAGUUUCAUAGCAACGCACGGGCAUUGUGCCAGUUUGUAUAAUUUCUUUGGGUUAAACUAACACUGGAAAUGACACUAAUCCACCCAGAAGCUUUUUAUUUUGAGCACACCAUCUUCUUUCAGUUUCUGGACCCAAUUCUGAGCUGUACAGCAAGUACCCUGUAUAUGGUUCCAAACUGUUUGAAAAUUGGUACACUUGUACACCUUAGUACGGUAACACCCCUAGACAUCACCCACACACCGACCCUUACCUAGUUUGCUUUGUAGCUGCUGUCAAAGUUUGCUACAGCAAAGUGUUUGGGCUUGCAGAAUGCAAUUCAGUGCACCUGGGGACACAGGGAGACAACUUCUAGCCCAUACUCUGAACACCUCACACACUAGACACGGUGCUAAGCACCAAUAAUGGGCCAGGGCUCUUGGCCGUGGUGAUCACGCCACUGGCAUGCAGAGAGCGUGCUCUGCACACUAGCGUGCAACUAACCCGACGGCUUCAUCGCGUUCCGCGUCCCCGGCUCGCCAUCGCUCACAGGACGCCACGCGCACGCCUCUGCAAACCCCCUCGACGCCCUACGACCAGCCCCGCUAGGCUCGCCGGAAGACGCGGUGCCGCUCACCUAUGACGCGCCGCAGUCGUCGUCUUCCUGCACAGCCCGGACAGCCGCAGCCACGAUCUCGCAAGCACUCACCCGGACCCGCCAAGUCCCCCACUACGGCUUGGCAGAGUCCGGCGUGACCACAACUGAUCCGAGCUUAUCCGCGGUGGUGCCAUGUCUGCAACACCCACACGUCGGGUAUAAAAGACCCCCCGGCUCACACUUCACUCGCACCACCUCCUCCCUUCUCUCACACGUCACACAAGCCAUUGAGCACGCCCAGGAUGGCCUGCCGCCGCAAAAUCAAGCGAAACUCCGCCGCUUGGGCGCCCUCGCCGGCAAGGAUUUUCCUCGACCUCCAACCACACCACCACCACCACUUAGGAUCGCCAUACCUCACUGACGAAAAGCACCAGGAGCUUCCCCAAAUAUGCGACGCUUUGCUAGAGUUCGCCGGAGCCCGAAGACCGUCGCCACCGGAGAGGAAGGAAAUGAUGCUAUCACGACGUCUUCGGAGGAGCUACGAGUACGAGGAGGAUCACCCACUUCGCGUCGUUCCAAUGCACCCACACCCGUGCUCCGUCGUGCCCUCUACGCCGGCGAACGGCCACCGGUGAGCCACUUCUCCAAUGAUCGUGCAAUUUUAAACAAAAACCCGACAGGUGGGGCCCACCUAUCGGCGACUCAUUUCCAUCCCGAAGUGGCAUGUAAGUGGAGGCACAUUUAUGAAAUACGCCUUCAACGUGAACGCCAUGGGGUUUUUUAUUUAAAUCGUUUUUGUUUUAUUUAAAUUGUUUUGUUGACCCAACUUUGACGAAUGAUAACUUUUAAACUAUAGGACCUUUUUUAGUUGAUUAUUUUUGCUAUUUUUAAUGGAACUCUUUUUUUGUUGAUUUAAUUUGGGAUUUAUUUGACCUGUUUGGAAUUUAUGGACACAAUAUUUGACUUUAUGUGUUAUUUACAAAAGCAAUUUUAAAUUAUUUCCAGAAGGAAUUAAUACAUGACGUGAAGACUAGGAGUUCUGUUGCACUUCACUUGAGGAAAGCAAGCUACCACCUCCAUUUGCUUGAUGGCAUUGUAGGCCAUGGGUUAAAAAUUGUAAUUUCUUCAUUUUAUGGUAGUAAUUAAAUUAAGUUUUAGAUUAUUUUUGUGCUAGAAUGUUUGCCAUGCUAGUGUCAUUUGUGUAGAUAGUAGUUGGCCAACAACAUUCACUAGUUUUUAAGUUGAGGUUGAAGCUUAGUUGAUUGAUGAGAACAUGUUAGUUGAGAGUAGUAAUAUGAGUAGAAAUGUUGGAUAAUUCUAGUAGUAGAAGACACCACAUUCUUUUCUUGCUUUCAUGUAGGCAUGAUCAUCUUGGAUGACACAGACUCUAGUUUUAGAAAUGAUCAUAUUUGGGAAAGAUGGUAGAAAUAAAAAGUUAUUAUAAAUUGACUAGAAUGUUUAUUUGUAAUAGAAUUGAAUUCUUAAUUUAACCCUUCAUGGUUGGUCUGUUCGUAGUGCCACGGCAUUGAUCCUUUCGUAGUACAACCACACUUGCCUUAGUGGGAAGGCCCUAGGUCGGUUAUAGUUAUGUCUCUUUUGUGUGUCACCAAAGAGGGAUGGUUGGACGGUUAGUAUCCUCUUGGAUGGGGGAUUGUUGUGUAGUCACGAGAGAUUGGGUUGUGAGAUGUGCACAGAGAAAAUUAUUGAAUCCUGUUGUGGAUUAGUUGUGUCACGGGGUGGGAGGGACCCAGAUUCUCUCACACAUGGCUAGCCUGCUGGAGGUCGGUGAUACGAUAAGAGUGUCAUGUUGUAAGCAGGUUUUGUCAGACUUUUAGUCCAUGGCAUGGGUAAGGUGUACAACCUUUGCAGAGUUUCAAUUCUAUUGGAAUAGUCGAUUCUCUGGUAAUGGGACACAUUCGUAUGAAGUCACACUAUAUGAUCAAGACCAUGACCAAAUUAAACUAAGUAAGUGUUGUAUUCAUGUUUAGUUGGCAGGAUUGGAUAGACUUCAAGGUAGCCUUGAGAGUUGAGACACAUGAUUGGGAAUCAUGCGGAGAGAUAGUCUUUGGAAUGUUAAACUAGAGGUUGGGGCACGCCUCUUUGGCGUACCUGGGCGUACCUGCCUAGCUUGCUUAGUUGUGAACGUGCUUUUGUGGUAUAAAAAAUCACAGACAACGUAUAAUUGGCGAGAAAAUGAUUAACCACAAGAAUUAUACCUUUUGAAUUUCAUCUAACCCUGAUCAGGUGCAUUUAGAUGAUUUGGUUUAUGAGCAAACAAUUAAUCACGAGCAUGGCCAUCUGCAGAAACUUGUUGACUAUAACAUAAGUAUCUUACAAAAAUAUUUCUGAAAAUAAUAGUGUUAAUAUCAAGUGUUACCUAUUGCUAAUUGAUUGAAGUGAAAAUUACAUGAGAAUUUGAUAAGCAAAUGUCACAUUCGGCCACAGGGUACUUCUAAAGAACAUCAAUGGAGAAGUUCUUCGAAAGCGCAGGCGCCUUGAGGUCGAUGGAGAAGUUCUUGCGUGAACAGUCACAUGAGAUAGGCGUUUGUUUGUUUAUGUCCUGCUUCGUUGAUUUUCUCAAGUUUAAUGUGAUGAACUGAUUUGGUGAUUCGUGAUUUUUUUUGUUUGUCCUCACUGUUUACUUCUUGCAAGAACAGUAAUCGCUUCAGUUUGUAGUUGUAGCCUUCUCGUGUGAACAGACAUAUGAGAUGGGCAUUUUCUUGUUUAUGUCAUGCUUUGUGAUUUUAUUUUUUAUUUUAUGCUUUGUGUUUUUUUUUGCGACAAACUGAAGAGAAUUGCAGUAUGCAGGAUGAAAAGGCAACUAGGCAAUGCACACAAAGAAAUUGGGAUUAUUACACUUUUAUUCUGUUAAUGGGUUUUCGGUUUUACCCGAAAAAAGUUUUCGGGGAUGCUUAGUUUUGCCUUUCUUUCAUUAAAUCACUAUGCUUUAGUAGUGUGCCUGGGAUACAUAUUUCCUCUUGAGAUGGCAAGUGGGAUCCACCUAUAAAAGAAAAAAAGGAAAAAAGGAGAAUAAGUUGUCAUUCAGUUUCCACUCAACCCCCUUUCAUCCUCCCGCUCGGCUAGCAUGGUGAGCUCGUUGGCUAUGCCAUGACCCUCCUUUCUCCUCCACCUUGCUCACUCGUCUCGGGAUGUAUGCUCGACCCUGUGGUCCAAACUAGUGUCGAGAGCCGCAUAACCGGGUAAUUCUUCAUCUGGCCCUCAAGGAGGUGAAACGACAAUGCGAAGCAGGCCCCAUAUAGAGUGUGACCCCGUGGUAGCUUGCCCUGGCGAUGAGUCUAUACCUGGAGGAGAGCUCAUGACUCGAGAAUGGAGAGAGGUGUGUUCGGUUGUCUACCUUCGUCGUUGCCACCGCCACGAAGGAAAGACAGAAGAGCCGCACAUUAGAUGGUGGAGGGAGUGGGUCUCCUAGUGGCUCUCUAGCCAAGGCGGUCGCCAAAUAAACAAGUUCCCGAUAUGGACUUCAGUACGACAAUAUCACCUACAUACAAAUAGACAGAUAAAGGGUGAAUUAGAUUCUAGAAGGCAAGCUUCGAGCCUCCAUCCUCUCCUACGAAUCAGGCUAGAAAGAUGGCUUCCAUCCUCAAGAGUUCUCCUACAACAAUAGGUACCAACAAAGCCUGUCGAUGUCCCCUUUAAUUCCAAUCUUUUUAUGGAAGGAAGUGCAGGAAACCUCUCAACAGGUCCCAAACUUGGGAUAGUCGUAUUUUUGGUCCUCGAGUUCUACAAGCAGCAGGACAUAGUCAGAAUGAUUCACGACAAACUCAUCGCUCAUCGGUCCAGGUACAAAAGUUACAACGAUCAGAAGCAUCACGACUUUAACUUUGAACCAGAGGGAUUACCUCCGAGUAACGCCCCUCAACUAAUUGCAACAGUUUCAAGUAAAAGGAAGAUUUACCCCAAGAUUUAUUGGACUCUUCCAAGUUUUAGCAAGGAGGGUAAAUUUAGCAUAUCACCUAGACUUACCAAAAGUCCUAGCAGAAGUCCACUGUGUGUUUCACAUAUCCCAACUCAAAAAAUAUUUGGCAUGCCAGAGAAGCACACUGAAUACAGACAAGUAACCAUCGGUUCAGAUCUCACUUAUGAAGAAAAACCUAUAAAUUUUUGGACAUAGCAAAGUGAAGGACUCGCAAUAAGGUCAACCAAUUUUGAAAGUUCUUUGGGAUCAUCAUAGUGAGGAAGAGGCCACAUGGGAAAGAGAAGUUUCUCUCUGGUAAAACUAUCCUCACAUAUCUCAAAGCAACCUUAAUACAGUGGACAAGGUUCAUCCAAAGGGUGUAGGUUUUUCACAAACCAAAUUUCUCAAACUUGAGCUCCUGGCUUUUUUCUGGAUUUUUCUAGGAUUUAUUUGCUUUGGAUUUCCUUCCCUGAUUUAAUUCAAGAAAAUGGCUACACCAUUUUCAACGAGCCUAAUGAGCAUAUUGACCCUCACAUAAACUAGUCAAAUAUUCUCUUGCCUAUUGACCCUCACAUAAUCUUAUCGCAAUCCCCAUUAUAGUUGAGUAAGUAUUUAUGCUUGAAUUUAAUGAAAACAUCAAUUUAAACCUCUUAGUGAAGGAAACCCAUUAGGCAACUUGUUUUUUCUGAAGAAAAUUAUGGUAGUAUAACAUGAUCAUGUAGUUUCAAAUGUACAAAAAAUAAGAAACACUCAAGUUCAAUAUUUUUCCACGAAAAUAAUUGAACUUCCUGUCCAAAAUCUCCCUUUUAUUUUUAUUUUGUGACUUUUUUAGGAAGCCCCUUGCCAAUGGUUUCACCAAGGGUUCUCUGUUAUUCCCAUACUAAUUUCAAGAGGCGAGGAAAAGAGGCUUUUACAGUCACCUCGAAUUACCUCAACAAUCUUACCUAAAACAUGGUAGUUAUAUGCUUCAUAACCAGUCAAGGCACAAAUGCGAGCAGGGCCUCCUCUCAACAUUCACGAAGGCUAUGAACUCGAACAUAAACAUAAUAUAUUGGAUCGCUUAAAGGAAAUUAAUUAUAAUCAUAAAGAGUUCAUCCAUAUCCUCGAGAACAAGUACAAUAACUCAAACAUAAAAGCAGAAAACCAAGAGGAAAGGGCCAAGUCACAAGAUGACAUCGAGAUGGGGAAGGGUGAAGGCAUGGCGCUGCCGGUGAAUAUAUGGUGAUGAAGGCGACGCCGGUGGAGAUGGCGGUGAUGGAGGCGGUGCGGUGGAGAUGACACCGGCCCGAAGGACGAUGCGUGUGGUGGGAGCCUCCCCUUCUUCUUCUAUGGAGGUGGUCUUGGAGAAGCAUUGGCGUUGUUGUGUUAUGAUCUUGGAUGAAUGAGGGUUUGAUGUCGGCGGCUUGGGUUGAAGGUAUAUAUAUAAGGGGCUUCUUCGGUUCUCCUCCGCAGAUGUGACUUCCUCCUCCUUCAUCCAAGGGCUCUAAGGGAGCCAAAUUCUGUCCCAAAAUGCCCCUUGUUCGACAAGGACCGCGUAGGGAAAGACUAGGACGAAAUUGGAGCAAAAUCAGAAAAGUUAUGGCCGAAAUACGGAGCUGUCGGGGUCGUCUUAUUGUGCGUCGUCGACCACUUUGGACCUUUUGAUAAGAUGGUCGCCAUUUCGUCAUAUGAACUCAUAUUUCAAUGUUCUUGGACUCAUUGGAUUCAUAUGAAUGACACUAAUGCAUCCGCGGUAUUAAAUCUUGAUUUUGAGCACUUUGGAAAAAAAAAUACCAUUUUGACACUUGCAAUAGAAGUCUGGUGUGUGUAAGUCCUCCGUGUUGAUCCCAACCUUGUCCUUUUCAUCGUGUUUGGUUCUUUGUUGCUCCCAAACAUGUGUAGAUGUGACGAAACAAAGGAAACUAAUAUAAACUAAUAAAAACUAGACCUAUACAAUGGUCAAAAUGAAAAGGCUGGACGAAACAAAGGAAACUAAUAGAAAGUAAAUAAAAAUUAGACCUAUGCAAUGCUCAAAAUGAAAAGGCUGGAGACUGGAAGUAACACAUAAUGGACAUGUACUUGGUUCAAUGCGACAUGGUAUAGGGAGAUAAUAUGCAAUAAAUGAGCUCUAAAAUGUGUAAACAAAUAGAGCCAUCAGGUUCUAGAGCCCUCGAUGCUCAUAUGGUCGUAGGGUUGAGCAUACACUUAGAGACGGCCCAGGGCAAGCAGGAGAGGGAAGUGGGCACAUUGUGGAGGCGACGAGCUCAAAGAUGAAAGAUUUUCUCGUACAAAAAAAAGACAUAGACAACAUAAUUUACAAAAUGCGAACAGAAAAAUGCGAUGGUAUCCUAUCAAAAAAUAAUUGCAUGGCAAAAAGGUCAAAGUAAGUCUAAAAAAAGUAAACAAACAAACAAAAAAACAUGGUCCAAAUUGGAGAGAAAAGAAGAACGUCGUGACAAAUUUGAAUAUUAAUUUAAAAAGACAUACAAGGAAUUUGCUAUGCUUUAUUUCCAUUUUCAAAAACACAAAGAAAUCACACACAGAAAGUUGGCAUGAUCCAAAAUAAAUAAUAUUACCAUGCUCUCAAUAAUAAAAUUUCCGUGCUCUUAUGAUAAUAAAAUUGUCAUCCUCUUAGUAAUAAAAUGGCCAUGUGCGAAUGUAGGAAACAAAUUCCAAAAUUGCUGCCAUGAAAAUAGGUAAAAAUUCUCAAAGCUUGCCAUGGUAGCAUUACAAACAAGAUUAAAUUUGCCAUGUUUGGAAGUAAAAAAUGUUAUGAAUUUUUCGUGGGACUAUGCAAAAAAAUUCUAAAAUUUUCCACUUGUACAAAACAAACUGGACAUGUGAAACAUUAUUAAAAAAUGUUUAAAAUUUGGCAUAUGGCAAGUUAAAAAAUUCUAAAUCUGCCUAUCUUUUGUUUGAAAAAUUGCCAUAUACCAAACCAAAAAUGUACAUAUUUUUCCCACCUUGUAAAAGUAAAAGUAAAACAAAAGGAACAUUUGCGAUUUAAUUACAGGUCUCCUAGUUGGAGUCUUUACACACUAGCCAAUCCGGUGGGCUGCUGUGCUUGGUUAGAAUAGCGAUCGUGCAACUUUUAUGUCCUGCUUAUGAGUUUCGAAUCUGAUGUGGCGGGGCUUCUUGUGAUAAGAUCCGUGCAUGUGAUCAGGUGGCAGGGUAGAGCGUUUGAUGAAACUUGCUACAAAUCUGAUGUUCCCCAAUAUUAUUUUCAAAAAAGUGAUGGUAACCUUGGAUUUUGUGGGUUAACUAUACAAAGGUGGAUUGUCUAGUCUUUUUUUUCGAGGGUACGCCAAAGGCGUACCAUAGCUUUAUAGGAGAAAGAAAGUAUGUACAAGAGAGUUACAAGGUAGCUAGUUAGAGAUCACAAGACGAUCCUAACAUAGCCAGACAUCCAGUCCGAAAGUCUAACACUAUUCCUCACUAACUACAUGAUCUCCAAAACCUCCUGUUGCGAUCCAGUUCCUAAGUUCGUCGAAGAUCGCCUUGGCCGUGCCCCACUCGUUUAGGAUGGAAUGACUCCCAAACACUCUACCAUUGCGUUGCUUCCAUAGACUCCAGCAGAUGAGCAUGACAACCGCAUCGAAUCAUUUCCUGGAUCCCUUAGAGAUACGUUUCCUAGUCGCCAACCACCAUGGCACCAAACUAUCCGAAGCGUUAGGGCAAAGCUGCGGAUCCAAGUGCAUCCUGCACAUGCACAUGUACCAAACUUGUCGCGGAAACACGCACUGCAACAAGAUAUGGUCUACUGUGUCUUCCUCUUGGUCGCAUAGAAAGCAUGCGGAAGUUUGGUCUUGCAGACCAUGGCGGACUCUCCUAUCUGCGGUCCACAGACGGUACUGUACAGCAAGCCACAUGAAGAUCUUGCAAGCAAGCGGCGUCCAGCACUUCCAGAUAGCCGAGAAAGAAUGAAAAUGGAUCCCGCCUUCGCAGAGCAUCUUAUAAGCAGAGGACGCGGUGUAUGUCCCAUUGUUGUUCCAGGCCCAAAUUGGCUUAUCUUCAGCCUCCGGAUCAAGUUGUACGUCCAUGAGAAUCUCCCAAAGGGUGAUGAACUGGGUGAGCCCCUCCGUACAAAGUGCUCCAACGAUGUCAUUGGCCCAGUCGUGUGAGUUCAGGGCAUCCACAAGACUUCUCUUGUUGCGCACUUGUGGUCGUACCCAAGUCACCAUGAGGGGAGCAAUGUCGUUUAUGGUGCACCGUUACACCAUCUAUCCUUCCAGAAUAGGAUUUGCGUUCCUCCACCAAUCUGCCAUUUGACCAGGCUCUCGAAUGCAGUAUUCACCUUUUUAUGCAUAACCAAGUUGAGGCCCUGCCAAGGCCUCGUCCUAUCCGUAUGCCUCAACCACUCCCAUCUCAAUCUUAGGGCAAUCCCGUGUUUGUAAAGAUCAAGCACACCCAGUCCACCGAGCUGCUUCGGGCGACAAACCCUUCUCGAGGAAACAACACACUUUCCACGAUGAACCUCCUCGGAGCCAGCCCAAAAAAAUACACGACAACCUUGGUCGACACGCUCCAAAGCCCGUUUGGGGGCCUCCGCAAUCAUCAGAUGGCGAGUAGCACGUGCUCUCAUUACAAUGUUGACAAGGAUGAGACGACCGGGCCUGGUAACUAGGCCUCUUUGCCAGCUGAUACGUCCAUUUUGCAUCAUGCUUUAUAUCAAUAUUUAUUGCAUUAUGGGCUGUUAUUACACUUUAUAUCUCAAUACUUAUGGCUAUUCUCUCUUAUUUUACAAGGUUUACCAUGAAGAGGGGGAAUGCUGGCAGCUGGAAUUCUGGCUGGAAAAGGAGCAAACGCUGGAAACCUAUUCUGCACAACUCCAAAAGUCCUAAAACUCCACGAAACCACUUUUGAAUUUAAUAAGAAUUUAUGAGCGAAAGAAAUAGGCCAGGGGGCCCACACCCUUUCCAGGAGACAGGGGGCGCGCCCCCCCCUGUAGGGCGCGACCUCCUAUCUCUUGGGCCCCCUGGUGGGCCUCCGGCAUCCAUCUUCUGCUAUAUCAUCACUUUUACCCUGGAAAAAAUCAUGGGCAAGCUUACGGGAUGAAACUCCGCCGCCACGAGGCGGAACCUUGGCGGAAUCAAUCUAGGGCUCUGGCGGAGCUAUUCUGCCGGGGACACUUCCCUCCGGGAGGGGGAAAUGAUCAUCAACGUCAUCAACAACGAUCCUCUCAUCUGGAGGGGGUCAAUCUCCAUCAACAUCUUCACUAGCACCAUCUCCUCUCAAAAUCCUAGUUCAUCUCUUGUAUCCAAUCUUGUAUCAAAACCACAAAUUGGUACCUGUGGGUUGCUAGUAGUGUUAAUUACUCCUUGUAGUUGAUGCUAUUUGGUUUACUUGGUGGAAGAUCAUAUGUUCAGAUCCUUUAUGCAUAUUAAUACCCCUCUAAUUAUGAACAUGAAUAUGCUUUGUGAGUAGUUACGUUUGUUCCUGAGGACAUGGGUGAAGUCUUGCUAUUAGUAGUCAUGUGAAUUUGGUAUUCGUUCGAUAUUUUGAUGAGAUGUAUGUUGUCUUUCUUCUAGUGGUGUUAUGUGAACGUCGACUACAUGGAACUUCACCAUUAUUUGGGCCUAGAGGAAGGCAUAGGGAAGUAAUAAGUAAAUGAUGGGUUGCUAGAGUGACAGAAGCUUAAACCCUAGUUUAUGCGUUGCUUCGUUAGGGGUUGAUAUGGACCCAUAUGUUUAAUGUUGUGGUUAGGUUUACCUUAAUACUCAUUUUUGUAGUUGCGGAUGCUUGCAAUAGGGGUUAAUCAUAAGUGGGAUGCUUGUCCAAGUUAGGGUAGUACCCAAGUACCGGUCCACCCACAUAUCAAAUUAUCAAUGUACUGAACGCGAAUCAUAUGAACGUGAUGAAAACUAGCUUGACGAUAAUUCCCAAUGUGUCCUCGGGAGCUCCUUCUUCAUUAUUAGAAUUUGUCCAGGCUUAUCCUUUGCUACAUAAAGGAUUGGGCCACCUUGCUUCACUUUAUUUACUUUAUUUACUUUUUGCUCGUUACUAUUUAUUUUAUCACAAAACUAUCUAUCACCUACUAUUUCAGUGCUUGCAGAGAAAACCUUACUAAAAACAGCUUAUCAUUUCCUUCUGCUCCUCGUUGGGUUCGACACUCUUACUUAUCGAAAGGACUACGAUAGAUCCCCCAUACUUGUGGGUCAUCAAGACUCUUUUCUGGCGCCGUUGCCGGGGAGUGUAGCGCUUUUCGUGAGUGGAACUUGGUAAGGUAACAUUUAUAUAGUGUGCUGAAAUUUUCUGUUACUUGUCACUAUGGAAGGGUAUCUUCACCCCAACCAGAAGAGCAAAGAGGUGAUCCUCAACCUACUGAACUUUAUGAAAAUAUUCACUUUGAGAUUCCUUCGGGUAUGAUAGAAAAACUGCUAGCUAAUCCUUUUGCAGGAGACGGAACAUUGCAUCCCGACUUACACCUUAUCUUUGUGGAUGAAGUUUGUGGAUUAUUUAAGCUUGCAGGUAUUCCCGAUGAUGUUAUUAAAAGGAAGGUGUUCCCUUUAUCUUUGAAGGGAGAUGCAAUGACAUGGUAUAGGCUAUGUGAUGAUACGAGAUUUUGGAAUUAUAAGCGAUUGAAGUUGGAAUUUCACCAGAAGUUCUAUCCUAUGCAUCUUGUUCAUUGUGAUCGUAAUUACAUAUAUAAUUUCUGGCCUCGCGAAGGAUAAAGCAUCGCUCAAGCUUGGGGGAGGCUUAAGUCAAUGUUGUAUUCAUUCCCCAAUCAUGAGCUCCCUCGGGAAAUGAUUAUUCAGAAUUUUUAUGCUCGGCUUUCUCUUGAUAAUCGCAACCUGCUCGAUACUUCCUAUGCUGGUUCCUAUGUGCUGAAUACUAUUGAUUUCAAAUGGGGCUUAUUGGAAAGAAUUAAACGCAACUCUGAAGAUUGGGGUUCCGACAAUGGUAAGGAGUCAGGUAUGACACCUAAGUUCGAUUGUGUUAAAUCUUUUAUGGAUAGCGAUGCUUUCCGUGGAUUUAGCUCUAAGUAUGGACUUGAGUCUGAGAUAGUAGCUACUUUUUGUGAAACUUUUGCUACUCAUGUUGAUCUCCCUAAAGAGAAGUGGUUUAAAUAUAAUCCUCCUAUCGAAGUGAAAGUAGUUGCACCUAUUACAUUCAAAGAAAAGACUAUUACAUAUAGUGACCCUAUUAUUCCUACUGCUUAUGUUGAAAAACCUCCUUUUCCUGUUAGGAUAAAAGAUCAUGCUAAAGCUUCGACUGUUGUUCGUCAGAGUAAUACUAGGACCUAUACACCUCCUGAGCAAAUUAAUGUUGAACCUGGUAUUGCUAUGAUUAAAGAUCUCUUGGAUGAGGACUUAGAUGGGCAUGUUAUCUCUUUCUUGGGUGAAACCGCUAAUAUUGCUAGACCCGAUACUAAAACACGUAGACCUGUUGUAGGCACGCCUAUUAUUUCUGUUAAAAUAGGAGAUCAUUUUUAUCAUGGCUUUUGUGAUAUGGGUGCUAGUGCUAGUGCGAUACCUUAUGAUCUUUAUAAAGAAAUUAUGCACGAUAUUGCACCUAUUGAAUUAGAAGACAUUGAUGUUACUAUUAAGCUUGCUAAUAGGGACACCAUUAAACCUAUUGGGAUUGUUAGAGAUGUUGAAGUCUUGUGUGGGAAGAUUAAAUACCCUGCUGAUUUUCUUGUUCUUGCUUCCCCACAAGAUGAUUUUUGUCCCAUUAUUUUUGGUAGACCCUUCCUGAAUACUGCUAGUGCUAAGAUUAAUUGUGAAAGGAAGGUCAUCACUGUUGGCAUAGAUGGUAUGUCUCAUGAGUUCAAUUUUGCUAAGUUUAGUAGACAACCUCGUGAAAGGGAACCACCGAGUAAGGAUGAAAUUAUUGGUCUUGCUUCCAUUGCUGUUCCUCCAACUGAUCCGUUAGAACAAUAUUUGCUAGACCAUGAAAACGAUAUGUUUAUGAAGGAAAGGGAAGAAAUAGAUGAAGUGUUCCUUAAACAAGAACCUAUGCUGAAACAUAACCUUCCCAUUGAAAUUCUUGGGGAUCCCCCUCCACCCAAGGGUGAUCCCGUGUUUGAACUCAAACCCUUACCUGAUAAUCUUAAGUAUGCUUAUCUUGAUGAAAAAGAAAUAUAUCCUGUUAUUAUUAGUGCUAAACUUUCAGAGAAAGAAGAAGAAAGACUAUUGAAAACUCUGAAGAAGCACAGAGCUGCUAUUGGAUAUGCUCUGGAUGAUCUUAAGGGCAUUAGUCCCACAUUAUGUCAACACAAAAUUUCAGUGGAGAAAGAUGCCAAACUAGUUAGAGAUCCUCAAAGACGAUUAAAUCCCAAGAUGAAGGAAGUGGUAAGAAAGGAUAUAGUAAAACUCCUUGAGGCAGGUAUUAUUUAUCCCGUUGUUGAUAGUGAAUGGGUAAGCCCUGUCCAUUGUGUCCCUAAAAAGGGAGGUAUUACCGUUGUUCCUAAUGAUAAAGAUGAAUUGAUCCCGCAAAGAAUUAUUACAGGUUAUAGGAUGGUAAUUGAUUUCCGUAAGUUAAAUAAAGCUACUAAGAAAGAUCAUUACCCUUUACCUUUUAUUGAUCAAAUGCUAGAAAGGCUAUCCAAACACACACAUUUUUGCUUUCUAGAUGGUUAUUCUGGCUUCUCUCAGAUACCUGUGUCAGCGAAGGAUCAAUCUAAAACUACUUUUACUUGCCCUUUUGGUACUUUUGCUUAUACAGGUAUGCUUUUUGGUUUAUGUAAUGCACCUGCUACCUUUCAAAGAUGCAGGAUGGCUAUAUUUUCUGAUUUUUGUGAAAAGAUAUGUGAGGUAUUCAUGGAUGACUUCUCCGUCGAUGGAUCCUCUUUUGAUGAUUGUUUGAGCAACCUUGAUCAAGUUUUGCAGAGAUGCGAAGACACUAGUCUUGUCCUGAAUUGGGAAAAGUGUCACUUUAUGGUUAAUGAAGGCUUUGUCUUGGGGCACAAGAUCUCGGAGAGAGGUAUUGAAGUUGAUAAAGCCAAAGUUGAUGCUAUUGAAAAGAUGCCAUGUCCCAAGGACAUAAAAGGUAUAAGAAGUUUCCUUGGUCACACCGGUUUUUAUAGGAGGUUCGUUGAUGACUUUUCUAAAAUCUCUAGGCCUCUGACUAAUUUAUUGCAAAAAGAUAUUCCUUUUGUCUUUGAUGAUGAUUGUGUAGAAGCAUUUGAAACACUUAAGAAAGCUUCGAUCACUGCACCUAUUGUUCAGCCACCUGAUUGGAAUUUACCUUUUGAAGUUAUGUGUGAUGCUAGUGAUUAUGCUGUAAGUGCUGUUUUAGGGCAAAGAGUCGAUAAGAAAUAAUGAUAUUCAGUAUGCUUGUAGGACUCUUGAUACUGCGCAGAGAAAUUAUGCUACUACUGAAAAAGAGUUCUUAGCAGUUGUGUUUGCAUGUGAUAAGUUUAGACCUUAUAUUGUUGAUUCCUAAGUUACUAUUCACACUGAUCAUGCUGCUAUUAAAUAUCUUAUGGAAAAGAAAGAUGCUAAGCCUAGACUCAUUACAUGGGUUUUCUCGCUCCAAGAAUUUGAUUUGCAUAUUAUUGAUAGAAAGGGAGCUGAGAACCCCGUUGCAGACAAGUUGUCUAAGUUAGAGAAUGUUCUUGAUGACCCACUGCCUAUUAAUGAUAGCUUUCCUGAUGAACAAUUAGCGGUUGUCAAUGCUUCUCGUACUGCUCCUUGGUAUGCCGAUUAUGCUAAUUACAUUGUUGCUAAAUAUAUACCUCCUAGUUUCACAUACCAGCAAAAGAAAAGGUUCUUUUAUGAUUUAAGACAUUACUUCUGGGAUGUUCCACACCUUUAUAAAGAAGGAGUAGAUGGUAUUAUUAGACGUUGUGUGCCUGAGCAUGAACAGGAACAAAUCCUACGCAAGUGUCACUCUAAAUCCUAUGGAGGACACCACGCUGGAGAUAGAACUGCACACAAGGUACUACAAUCUGGUUUUUAUUGGCCUACUCUCUUCAAAGAUGCUCGUAAGUUUGUCAUAUCUUGUGAUGAAUGUCAAAGAAUAGGUAACAUUAGUAGACGUCAAGAAAUGCCUAUGAAUUAUUCUCUUUUUAUUGAACCGUUUGAUGUUUGGGGCUUUGACUAUAUGGGACCUUUUCCUGCCUCCAAUGGUUAUACACAUAUUUUAGUUGCUGUUGAUUACGUUACUAAGUGGGUAGAAGCUAUUCCAACUAGUAGUGCUGAUCAUAACACUUCUAUUAAAAUGCUUAAAGAAGUUAUUUUUCUGAGGUUUGGAGUCCCUAGAUAUCUUAUGACUGAUGGUGGUUCACAUUUUAUUCAUGGAGCUUUCCGUAAGAUGCUCGCUAAGUAUGAUGUUAAUCAUAGAAUAGCAUCUCCUUAUCAUCCGCAGUCUAGUGGUCAGGUAGAGUUGAGCAAUAGAGAGCUCAAAUUAAUUUUGCAAAAGACUGUGAAUAGAUCUAGAAAGAAUUGGUCCAAAAAACUUGAUGAUGCAUUAUGGGCCUAUAGAACUGCAUACAAAAAUCCUAUGGGUAUGUCUCCUUAUAAGAUGGUUUAUGGAAAGGCAUGUCAUUUACCUCUUGAACUUGAACAUAAGGCAUAUUGGGCUAUUAAAGAGCUCAAUUAUGACUUCAAACUUGCCGGUGAGAUAAGGUUAUUUGAUAUUAGCUCACUUGAUGAAUGGAGAACCCAAGCUUUUCAAAGAAAAAGUCAAACGCUGGCAUGAUAAGAGGAUACAAAAGCAUCAGUUUAACGUAGGAGAUUAUGUGUUAUUAUUCAACUCUCAUUUAAGAUUUUUUGCAGGAAAACUUCUCUCAAAAUGGGAAGGUCCCUACAUUAUUGAGGAGGUCUAUCGUUCUGGUGCUAUAAAAAUCAACAACUUCGAAGGCACAAAUCCGAGGGUGGUAAAUGGUCAAAGAAUUAAACAUUAUAUUUCAGGUAAUCCUAUCAAUGUUGAAACUAAUAUUAUUGAAACCAUAACCCCUAAGGAAUACAUAAGAGACACUUUCCAGAACGUUCCAGACUCCGAAAAGGCAUAGGUACGUGGUACGGUAAGUAAACCGACUCCAAAACAACUCUAAUGGCAAUUUUUAUCAGCUUUGGAUUAUUUAAGAAUUUUAGGAAGAAAGAAGUAGUCCGAAAGGGACACGAGGCUCCCACGAGAGAGGAGGCCGCGCCCCCCUGUAGGGCGCGGCCCCUGUAUCGUGGGCACCUCGUGUGCCUCCCGGACUCCGUUUUCUUGUAUGUUAUGUAUUUUGAUCAGUAAAAAUUCAUUAUAUAUACUCCCGAAGGUUUUUACCAACGUAUCACGCAAAUAUCCUCUGUUUUCAUUUCGAGCUGUUUCUGUUUCAGAUCUAGAGCAUCAUGACGUCUCCAAGCGCUCCCAAGGACAAAUUUUUUGAGAGGGUUAUCAACCCCUAUCUCACGGAGGUGCUGCAUCACCCUCAAACCAUUGAGAUGCGUGAGGGGGUGCUGCACAUCCGCGAUGUGGAGGGACCAAGGCGUACCGGGAGCAUGGAGACAAAGCUCGAAGCCAUGGAGCAAGAAGUUUUCAAGUGUCAAGGGAUGCUGGAGCGUGGACUCAAUGCCAAGCAGAUGAUGAUCACGGAGUUCACCAACAACCACGAGCUGGAUGCCAAAGUCAUUGGGGAGACCAUCUUCAAGCUUCAAGAGAAAAUCGAGCACCUCCAAGCCCAGAUUUAUGACCUGCAAAACCAGAACUGUGAGUAUGAAUAUAGAUUCAAGCGAAUGAGUUUGGCUGCAGAUUUAAGGAUCCUGGAGACUCGAUCAUCCUUUUAUGAUGGAGAGCCUAUGCCUUGGAAGACGGACGACAAGCCUACAUCAUCAACAACUCCUACUUCACCCCCUCCGAAGCAGUAAUCACAUGGGUAUGGGCACUCCCCUUGGCAACUGCCAAGCUUGGGGGAGGUGCCCCGAUAUCGUAUCACCAUCACACUCUUAUUUUUACCGCUUUAUUUAGUUCGAUCCUUUUAGUAGUAUCUUGAUCUAGUAGUUUGAAGUUUUUGAUAUCAAGUAGUUUUGAGUUUUGCUUUGUGACCUCUUUUUGUAAUCGAGUUUGUGUGCUAUCUAUAAUAAAGAUUAGUGUUGAGUCAAGGGAUUUGCUAUGAUUGCUAUGAUCUUGAGAAAGUAGAAAGAACAAAAGAGUUCAUAUUGAUCUUAUGGAUAGUGAUAACUUCACACAUAGAAAGUAUGAGGCAUAAAAAUUGUUGAGAGUUGAUGAACGUAGCCUUGGUCAUCGUUGCAAUUAAUAGGAAGUGAUAAGGAAAGAGGGGUUCACAUAUAAAUAUAUCAUCUUGGACAUCUUUUAUGAUUGUGAAGCACUCAUUAAGUAUGACAUGCUAAAAGAGUUGAUGUUGGACAAGGAAGACAACAUAAUGGUUUAUGUUUUCCGACAUCUCAGUUAAAGUAUAUUGUCAUUGACCUUCCAAACAUGUUGAUCUUGCCUUUCCCCCUCUUGCUAGCCAAAAUUCUUGCACCAAGUAGAGAUACUACUUGUGCUUCCAAAUAUCCUCAAACCCAGUUUUGCCAUGAGAGUCCACCAUACCUACGUAUGGAUUGAGUAAGAUCCUUCAAGUAAGUUGUCAUCGGUGCAAGCAAUAAAAAUUGCUCUCUAAAUAUGUAUGACUUAUUAGUGCAGAGAAAAUAAACUUUGUACGAACUUGUUGUGGAAGUAAUAAAAGCAACGGGCUGCAUAAUAAAGGUCCACAUACAAGGGGCAAUAUAAAGUGACGUUCUUUUGCACUAAGAUUUUAUGGAUCAACCCUAAACGCCCAUGACAACCUCUGCUUCCCUCUGCGAAGGGCCUAUCUUUUACUUUAUGUUUUGCUUUAUGCUUGAGUCAAGGUGAUUGCUCACCUUUCCCUUUUUCAUUUUAUCCUUUGGCAAGCUCUUCGUGUUUGAAAGAUCAUGAUACAUAUAUCCAAUUGGAUAUAAGUUGGCAUAGGCUAUUAUUGUUGACAUCACCUAAAGGUGAAUACGUUGGGAGGCAAUGCAAGAGGCCCCUAUCUUUCUCAGUGUCCGAUUGAAACUCUAUAACCACAAGUAUUGCAUGUGUUAGCAAUUAUAGGAGACUACGAGAUAGUUGAGUAUGUGAGCUUGUUGAAAAACUCUAUUAUUGACUCUUUCUAAUGUUACGAUAAAUUGCAAUUGCUUCAAUGACUGAGACUAUAGUUUGUUAGUUCCCAAUGAAGUUUUUGAACCAUACUUGACAUUGUGAAUUGAUUAUUAUAGGAAAUCAUAUGACAAAAAUCUAUAUAUAUUGCUGUUAUUAGAAUGAUCAUGAUGCCCUCAUGUCCGUAUUUUAUUUUUAUCGACACCUCUAUCUCUAAACAUGUGGACAUAUUUUUGAUUUCGGCUUUCGCCAUGAGGACAAGCGAGGUCUAAGCUUGGGGGAGUUGAUCGUACAUUUUGCAUCAUGCUUUUAUAUCAAUAUUUAUUGCAUUAUGGGCUGUUAUUACACUUUAUAUCUCAAUACUUAUGGCUAUUCUCUCUUAUUUUACAAGGUUUACCAUGAAGAGGGGGAAUGCCGGCAGCUGGAAUUCUGGCUGGAAAAGGAGCAAAUGUUGGAAACCUAUUCUGCACAACUCCAAAAGUCCUGAAACUCCACGAAACCACUUUUUGGAUUUAAUAAGAAUUUAUGAGCGAAAGAAAUAGGCCGAGGGCCCACACCCUAUCCAGGAGACAGGGGGGCGCCCCCCUGUAGCGCGCGGCCUCCUAUCUCCUGGUCCCCGUGGUGGGCCUCCGGCGUCCAUCUUCUGCUAUAUCAUCACUUUUACGCUGGAAAAAAUCGUGGGCAAGCUUACGGGACGAAACUCCGCCGCCACGAGGCGGAACCUUGGCAGAAUCAAUCUAGGGCUCUCACGGAGCUGUUCUGCCGGGGACACUUCCCUCCGGGAGGGGUAAAUCAUCACCAACGUCAUCACCAACGAUCCUCUCAUCGGGAGGGGGUCAAUCUUCAUCAACAUCUUCACCAGCACCAUCUCCUAUCAAAACCCUAGUUCAUCUCUUGUAUCCAAUCUUGUAUCAAAACCACAAAUUGGUACCUGUGAGUUGCUAGUAGUGUUGAUUACUCCUUGUAGUUGAUGCUAUUUGGUUUACUUGGUGGAAGAUCAUAUGUUCAGGUCCUUUAUGCAUAUUAAUACCCCUCUGAUUAUGAACAUGAAUAUGCUUUGUGAGUAGUUACGUUUGUUCCUGAGGACACGGGUGAAGUCUUGCUAUUAGUAGUCAUGUGAAUUUGGUAUUCGUUCGAUAUUUUGAUGAGAUGUAUGUUGUCUUUCCUCUAGUGGUGUUAUGUGAACGUCGACUACAUGACACUUUACCAUUAUUUGGGCCUAGAGGAAGGCAUAGGGAAUUAAUAAGUAGAUGAUGGGUUGCUAGAGUGACAGAAGCUUAAACCCUAGUUUAUGCGUUGCUUCGUUAGGGGUUGAUAUGGACCCAUAUGUUUACUGUUGUGGUUAGGUUUACCUUAAUACUCCUUUUUGUAGUUGCGGAUGCUUUCAAUAGGGGUUAAUCAUAAGUGGGAUGCUUGUCCAAGUUAGGGCAGUACCCAAGUACCGGUCCACCCACAUAUCGAAUUAUCAAAGUACCGACGCGAAUCAUAUGAACAUGAUGAAAACUAGCUUGACGAUAAUUCCCUAUGUGUCCUCGGGAGCUCCUUCUUCAUUAUUAGAAUUUGUCCAGGCUUAUCCUUUGCUACAUAAAGGAUUGGGCCACCUUGAUGCACUUUAUUUACUUUUUGCUCGUUACUAUUUAUUUUAUCACAAAACUAUCUAUCACCUACUAUUUCAGUGCUUGCAGAGAAAACCUUACUAAAACCGCUUAUCAUUUCCUUCUGCUCCUCGUUGGGUUCGACACUCUUACUUAUCGAAUGGACUAUGAUAGAUCCCCUCUACUUAUGGGUCAUCACCAGCCAGGAAGGAUGUGCAACGCCAUAUCGAUAAUUCGCUGCCAUUUGGACCUUCUAAGUUGCUUGAUACUCAGCUGUAAUCCGAGAUACUUGCAGGGGAAUGCUCCAAUCUUCCAAGGAAAAGCACUUUUGACGAGCUCCUCAUCUUCAUCCUCCGAACGGAUCAUGAUGGCAGAAGAUUUGGCAUAGUUCACUUUUAAUCCAGGAGCAGCCCCAAAGAUGUCGAGGGCCUCUUUCACAUAAUGCAGAUCUGCAAGGCCAGGGUUUUAUGAAUAGAACUACAUCAUCCGCAUAUAAGGAUAGCCGCUGCAGCGGAGUGCAACCUCUCAUGUUACUUAGAACUCCAUAGUCAUGUGCUUUGAUGACUAUCUUUGUAAGGACGUCCAUGGCGAUAACAAAGAGUAAGGGGGAGAUCGAGUCCCCUUGUCUUAAACCUAUAGCAUGCAUAAACUUAACACCUAUAGAUCCAUUGACCACCACUCUAGAGCUGGCCGAGGUGAGCAAUGUAGAAAUCCAAGAUAUCCAUCUGUCCGAGAAACCCUUAGCAUGCAGCACCUCAAAAAGAAAGGGCCAAGAUAGGGAGUCAAAAGCUUUGGAUAUGUCUAGCUUGAGGAGCACUCCUUUAGCUUUCCUAUGAUGUAACUUACGCGCCAUCUGCCAGACUAGGAGGAAGUUGUCAUGCAGGUUCCUCACUUGGAUGAAAGCGGACUGAUUGACAUGGACCAAUUCUCCCAUACGUGGCUUGAGCCUAGACGAAAGCAGCUUUGAGGCAAACUUAGGUAUGCUAUGAAUAAGACUGAUCGGUCGGAAGUCAGAGACCGAACGUGCCUCCGAAUAUUUGAGGAUUAGGGUGAUCAUGGCUUGAUUCAGCCGGCCAAAUGUAACGCCUCGGAUUUGAUGCACCAGGUGACUGCCAGUUAUUCGCUGUCAUUGGCAUGCCAUUUGCUUGCGUGUUGCAUUUUUCCAUGUCAUCAUGUGCAUCUCUUUUUGCAUACGUGUUCGUCUCAUGCAUCCGAGCAUUUUCCCCAUUGUCCGUUUUGCAAUCCGGCACUCCUAUGUCAUCCGGCGUCCCCUUCAUGCCACUUUUCGUGUGCGGGUGUUAAACAUUCUCGGAAUGGACAGAGGCUUGCCAAGUGGCCUUGGUACACCAUCGGUAGACCGCCUGUCAAGUUCUGUGCCAUUUGGAGUCCGUUUGUUACUCCAACAGUUAACCGUGUAACCCCGAAAGCCCCUUUUGUCUUGCAGCCCAACACCCCUUCAAAGUGGCCCAAAACCACCCAAACCCCCUCCAUGCUCUCGGUCGUUCGAUCACGAUCGUGUGGGCGUAAACCACUCCUCAUUUUGAGUCUCCUAGCUCCCUCUAUCUAUAUAAACACCUCCCCCUCCGAAAUUCACGGUGCAAACCCUAGCCUCCUCUUCCCCCCGUCGCUGGACAUGUCCAUCCAUGCCGGACAUAUCCAUCCUCCACGUCGCCCGGACCAAUCCCGGGGCGACAGGUCCCCCGCCGCCGCUCCCGGCCAGUGGCAUCGCGCCACGUCGCCCACAACUCCUCCCCACCAGCCUCCUCNNNNNNNNNNNNNNNNNNNNNNNNNNNNNNNNNNNNNNNNNNNNNNNNNNNNNNNNNNNNNNNNNNNNNNNNNNNNNNNNNNNNNNNNNNNNNNNNNNNNNNNNNNNNNNNNNNNNNNNNNNNNNNNNNNNNNNNNNNNNNNNNNNNNNNNNNNNNNNNNNNNNNNNNNNNNNNNNNNNNNNNNNNNNNNNNNNNNNNNNNNNNNNNNNNNNNNNNNNNNNNNNNNNNNNNNNNNNNNNNNNNNNNNNNNNNNNNNNNNNNNNNNNNNNNNNNNNNNNNNNNNNNNNNNNNNNNNNNNNNNNNNNNNNNNNNNNNNNNNNNNNNNNNNNNNNNNNNNNNNNNNNNNNNNNNNNNNNNNNNNNNNNNNNNNNNNNNNNNNNNNNNNNNNNNNNNNNNNNNNNNNNNNNNNNNNNNNNNNNNNNNNNNNNNNNNNNNNNNNNNNNNNNNNNNNNNNNNNNNNNNNNNNNNNNNNNNNNNNNNNNNNNNNNNNNNNNNNNNNNNNNNNNNNNNNNNNNNNNNNNNNNNNNNNNNNNNNNNNNNNNNNNNNNNNNNNNNNNNNNNNNNNCCGCCUGCUCGGCGCCGCCACCUCCCAGUGUCUCCCCGCGCCCCACACGCCGGGACCCGGUCGCAUCCGGUGAGAUCCGCCCCGGAUCCGCCCAUCUCCGCCGUCUACUCCAACUCCGGCGAGUUCUCCAGCCGCCUCGAAGUCUGUGCCCGAUCCAGAUCCGAGGUUGACUUCAUUUUUCUGCCAGUCCCCAUAAUUUUGUAUAUUUUAUGCCCCUGUUCAUCGCAUCAUAACUUGCUGCAUACUGCUCCAUUUCGUGCGUGUAAUAUGUCAAAUUGUUCGUCUCGACGAGAACUUCAUUUCAUUCCAUUGCAUCAUGUUCAUGUGAGUCCAUGUUGAUGCCUGAAUCAUCAUUGCAAGAAUGCUAUGUGAUGUUAACCUGCUGAAACUGUUAUAACUUGGUGUUUUGUCAUUUUUGUUGGAUUUGAUGUGUGCAUCCUAUGAGCUUGAUGUCUACAUGUGUUUUGUGCUACAUCAUGCCAUCUUCAAAGUGGUACAAUCCAUGUAUUUUUGUGAGUCUUGUACUGAGUGCAUCGAGCUUGUUAAGUAGGGUACGUGCUGUUGCUGUUUUGCUAGGCUGAUUCUGUUAUAUUAUAAUGCUAUGUAAACCUGCCGCUACAAGUCAUUCUAUGCAUAAUCUGGAGAUGUUCACUAAGGAUGUUUUGUUAUACAUGUCAUGCUCUAUCCAUUCAUGCCCCUGGUUGCAUUUAUAGCCUGCUGCAACUUGUUUUUAUCUUGCUCCAAACUUGCUAAAUAAUGUUGCUGUCAGCCUGUUAACUUUAAGUUCAGUUUUGCCAUGAGCUUUGCUAGUGAUCCAAGCAUGCUAUGAACUUGCUAUUGCCAUGUUUAGCUUCAUAAACAUGUAUUCUUACUGUUGGUUGUCUUUCCAUGCCAUAUAUUUCCCUGUGGUGAGUGGUACAAGCUCACCAACAUGCCUACUUAUUGUUGUUCCUGCCAUGUUUGAAUCUGUCAUAUUACUUGCUAUGUUUACAUGGGUGCCAUCAUAUUUUCUGUGCCCUUUUGGCUCAUGGUCAGUAAGGAACUUUUGUUCUAUGAAAUUAGUAGAAUCAUGCCAUGCCUUUGUUUGCCAUGACAAGUUCAUGUAACAUGUUGUUUGAUAGCUCUAAACAGUGCAACCUGAUGUUAUUCCUGCUAAGCCUGAAAUUGUUAUUAUUUGCAAUCUUGCCAUGUGUGUUUGAGCAUGUUCUAGUGAUUUCUGGGGAUAUCUCAGUGUUCAUGUUUUGUCAUGCAUUACCUGUACAUCAUGUACAUGCCUCUUGUUUUCAUAUUGUGGUACUGUAGCAUGUUGUUUUGGUGCUUGCAAUAUGCCUAGUUGCUGUUAUGGACAGAUUGUUGUCAUAUCUUCUAUGGUGUGUAUGUGUUGAACCGUUGCUCCGUUUUGAGUGUGCUCUAUAUGAAACUUGCUUAGAUUUGCAUGUAGUUUCAUAUUAUCAUUUGCUCUUCAAGCCUUUCAAAUUGCCUUUUCAGCCUCUAACCUUUUUCACCCUUCCUAGCAAACCGUUGUUUGGCUAUGUUACCGCUUUGCUCAGCCCCUCUUAUAGCGUUGUUAGUUGCAGGUGAAGUUGAAGAUUGCUCCAUGGUGGACAGGAUUAUGUUGGGAUAUCACAAUAUCUUUUAUAUUAUUAAUGCAUCUAUAUAUUUGGUAAAGGGUGGAACGCUCGGCCUUAUGCCUGGUGUUUUGUUCCACUCUUGCCGCCCUAGUUUCCGUCAUACCGGUAUUAUGUUCCCGGAUUUUGCGUUCCUUGCGCGGUUGGGUGAUUUAUGGGACCCCCUUGACAGUUCGCUUUGAUUAAAACUUGUCCAGCAAGGCCCAACCUUGGUUUUACCAUUUGCCUCACCAUCACCUAUACCCUUCUCUUGGGUCGGCCAACCCGAGGGUCAUCUUUAUUUUAGCCCCCCCCCNNNNNNNNNNNNNNNNNNNNNNNNNNNNNNNNNNNNNNNNNNNNNNNNNNNNNNNNNNNNNNNNNNNNNNNNNNNNNNNNNNNNNNNNNNNNNNNNNNNNNNNNNNNNNNNNNNNNNNNNNNNNNNNNNNNNNNNNNNNNNNNNNNNNNNNNNNNNNNNNNNNNNNNNNNNNNNNNNNNNNNNNNNNNNNNNNNNNNNNNNNNNNNNNNNNNNNNNNNNNNNNNNNNNNNNNNNNNNNNCUUGUCUAAGUGCUGGUCCAAACCGAGCCGCCUGCGGGGCCCCCUCGGGGAAACUCGAGGUCUGGUUUUACUCAUAGCCUGUCUCAUCCGGUGUUGCCCUGAGAACGAGAUAUGUGCAGCUCCUAUCGGGAUUGUCGGCGCAUCGGGCGGUCUUGCUGGUCUUGUUUUACCAUUGUCGAAAUGUCUUGUAAACCGGGAUUCCGAGACUGAUCGGGUCUUCCUGGGAGAAGGAGUAUCCUUCGUUGAUCGCGAGAGCUUAUCAUGGGCUAAGUUGGGACACCCCUGCAGGGUAUAAACUUUCGAGAGCCAUGCCCGCGGUUAUGUGGCAGAUGGGAAUUUGUUAAUGUCCGGUUGUAGAUAACUUGACACCAGAUCCGAAUUAAAACGCAUCAACCGCGUGUGUAGCCGUGAUGGUCUCUUUUCGGCGGAGUCCGGGAAGUGAACACGGUUUCUGUGUUAUGUUUGACAUAAGUAGGAGCUCAGGAUCACCUCUUGAUCAUUACUAGUUGACGAUCGUUCCGUUUGCUCUCUCCUCGCUCUGAUUUGUGUAUGUUAGCCACCAUACAUGCUUAUUCGUUGCUGCAACCUCACCACUUUACCCCUUCCUUUCCCAUUAAGCUUUCCUAGUCUUGAUACCCAUGGUAAUGGGAUUGCUGAGUCCUCAUGGCUCACAGAUUACUACACCAACAGUUGCAGGUACAGGUUACGCGAUGAUCAUGACACGAGAGCGAUGUUUGCUUGUUUGGAGUUCUUCUUCUGCUUCUUCUUCGAUCAGGGGAUAGGUUCCAGGUCGGCAGCCUGGGCUAGCAGGGUGGAUGUCGUUUGAGUCUCUGUUUGUGUUUCAUCCGUAGUCGAAUGGUGCUCUUAUGUAAGAUGAUGUUGUAUUCGUGUGGCAUUGUAUGCCUUAUGUAUGUAUCCCUAUCUAUUAUGUAAUGUUGAUGUAAUGAUAUCCACCUUGCAAAAGUGUCUUCAAGAUGCGCUUCGAUCCUUGGUGGGACCUUUGAGUUCCUUUAGGAUAGGGUCGCAUCUUAGGCGUGACAAGUUGGUAUCAGAGCCUCGACCGACCCUAGGAGCCCCCUUGAUUGAUUGUGUAGUUUGGCCGUUGUCGAGUCUAGAAGAAAACUGAUUUUUGAGUCUAGUUAUAUCGGAGAGUAGGAAUUCUUUUUACUCCUCAGUCCCUUCGUCGCUCUGGUAAGGAAUCUUGACGUAGUUGUUUUGAAUUACUCCUCUUCCCAUUCAAAUUUUUCUUUAGGUUCACGUAGUUGGUUUUCCGAUCGUUGGCUCUCAGCUCUUUUCAUCCGGUGCAUUUCUCGUCAAGUUGACUCGAGCCUCUUCAUCGUUGUCAAGUUCAAUCCUCAGUUGUUUUCUUUUCCCACCUGCCCUCCCUUUUUCGUCUCCAAGCCAGAGUCCGUAAUAAAGUAUCCAUCCUACUCGUAUGAAGCCUUUGCUUUCUUUCCUCAAUAAUUUCAACCAGUGUUUUCUCUUCAAGAUAUUCGUCGGAUUCCCCUUCCAAGUUGCCUCUGUUUUACCGCCCUCUCACCCUUUCUCUUCUCGGAGUUUGAGUCUCUCUCGACCAUCAAUUUCAUUCGUACGGAGCCCCUUCAGUCUUCCCUCAAUUAUUUCAACCGGUGAAUUCUCGUCUCGUUCGUCAUUCUUCGUCCCUUUCUUUUCCGGUGGACUCAAUUCAAGUUUUUUUCGGGUUGAUCACAUUCUUUCCCUCGGCUCAAGUGUUUUUCCUGCUCGUUUGCCUCUUGUCAUUUAAUCCUUCUGGAGUGCUCAUGACAUCUCAGGAGAUUCGUCUGUGUUCCAAUUAAUUCGAGGUUGUCACCUCAUUCAAAUAUUUCAAUUGUUCCGGUGCAUCAUCUACGUGUUCAACAAUCUUUUCCAACGGUGUUUUCUUUUAGUGGGCCCUAACCCACAGGUCUUUUCCCAGGAUCUUACCUGACUCUUCUAAUUUCCCAGAGUUAUUCUCAAAUUCUUUUCAAGUGUGACGUAAGAAUGGAUUCCAUCAGUCACAUGCUUUCUCCAAGAUUGUUUUCAAAUUAUUUUCAUUGUUGGCUCAACCUCUUCGUUUUUCAUUCUCCCGGAGUAUCCCAGUAACUUCGGUGGUGUUUCCCGUCGUCAUCUGAAGAUCGAAGAAGAGUUCCUUCUAAAUCUUGCCCGUUCUCUCAAAGACUCGCAGUUCUAGUUUCAUGCUACCGUCUCGUAUUAUUCCAUUUGUUAGAUAUUCUUUUCAUCCAUCCAGAGUAUUUCAAGAGUUGUUUUUUUUCUUUUCUCUGUCUCGAUCAUCCGGAGGUCAUCUUUUUUGGAAUAUUUCUUCGCUCCUAGUUUUCAGAUUCAUUCUCCAAUUAUUCUAUAUCCGUGCCCUUUCGUUCGUCUCAAUAUUCUCCCGGUGCUUCGUUCAAGUAUUCUUCAAUAAGUUCGUAGUCUCUUCAUUCUCUUGUCUCUUAAUUCCCUUAAGUAUCUUUUUGUUUUUCUAAUUUUUCCCGGUGAUUCUUUCUCUUUCAUCAGUCAUUUUCGAAUCCUACCAGUGGUUCAUGAAGACUUUCUCAAGUUUUGCGCCAUAUAACCCCCCUUAAUCCUUUUCAAGAAGAAUAAGUAAUAUACAAAAUCCAUCGCUUGUCAUCAAUUUAAUUUGAUGAAGGAUAAGCAUACAAUAAAUCUUAUUCUUAUUUCAUCCAAGUGAGCAAUCCCUUCCUUCGGAGUUUGUUCAUGAUGAAGUAAUUCUAGUUCCAAGUCUUUUCAUCUUUUCUUUUCCGGAGUACAAAUUUCCUCGGCCAUUUCGUUGAAAACUCCAUCUUAAUCAUCGCAAGGCUCAUCUUAUUCUUUCAUCCUUCAAUUCUAUCUGAUUGGCCUUUUGUUUACUGGAGUUCUUCACGGUGGUUCAUCAUGAUUUAAUUCAUUCUUCAAGAUUUUGUUGGUGGAGUUCAAAUAUCUUUUUUCUCACGUCUCGAAGUGCAAUUAAUUCUCCGUUUUCUUUUGAAGUGGAGUUUUGCAUUUCUUCAUUCUUCUCAGCUAUCCAAUCAUUUCCGGUUGUGGCCGUUAUCACCUUAGGAUCUUGAGAUGUUACCUGUAAGACCACAACAAGCUAUUUCUUUUCAUUGUUGAAUUUCUCAACAACUCUGUUUAAACCUUCCUUCUAAAGAUGCUUUCAAUUUCAUUCGUGGCACAAGUUGUCAUUUUCUUGUAUGUUCUUUUCAUUCAACUCUUUCAAUUCCUUCCGGAGGUUUUGUGUCAUGUCUUCAUCAAGUAUCAUUCCAUCCUCUCAAGCUCGUGUUCUAAUCCUUCCAUUUUCAGCCAGAGUGCUGCCUAAAUCCUUUCAGUCUUAUUCGUUUCUUAUCUCGUUCUAACCGGAAAGGUUUCAGAGUCUAUUUGAUUCCAUGAGCUUUCGAUUCUCGUCAUUCUCGUCGUUCCUCUCUUCUUCUCGAGUGCUCUCGAUUCUUUGCUGCUUCUCUUGAGUUCUUGUUUCACCUCAUCCCUUUUCCCUUCCGUCUCGGUCCUAAGAUCUCGGGACGAGAUCUCUUGUUAGUGGAGGAGAGUUGUAACGCCCCGGAUUCGAUGCGCCAGGUGUCUGCCAGUUAUUCGCCGUCAUUGGCAUGCCAUUUGCUUGCGUGUUAAAUUUUGCCAUGUCAUCAUGUGCAUCUCUUUUUGCAUAUGUGUUCGUCUCAUGAAUCCGAGCAUUUUCCCCGUUGUCCGUUUUGCAAUCCGGCACUCCUAUGUCAUCCGGCGUCCCCUUCUUGUCUCUUUUCGUGUGCGGGUGUUAAGCAUUCUCGGAAUGGACCGAGGCUUGCCAAGUGGCCUUGGUACACCACCGGUAGACCGCCUGUCAAGUUUCGUGCCAUUUGGAGUCCGUUUGUUACUCCAACAGUUAACCGUGUAACCCCGAAAGCCCCUUUUGUCUUGCAGCCCAACACCCCUCCAAAGUGGCCCAAAACCCAUCCAAACCCCCUCCAUGCUCUCGCUCGUUCGAUCACGAUCGUGUGGGCGAAAACCACUCCUCAUUUGGAGUCUCCUAGCUCCCUCUAUCUAUAUAAACACCUCCCCCUCUGAAAUUCGCGGGGCAAACCCUAGCCUCCUCUUGCCCGCGCCGCCGGACAUGUCCAUCCGUGCCGGACAUGUCCAACCUCCACGUCGCCCGGACCAAUCCCGGGGCGACACGUCCCCCGCCGCCGCUCCCGGCCAGUGGCAUCGCGCCACAUCGCCCNNNNNNNNNNNNNNNNNNNNNNNNNNNNNNNNNNNNNNNNNNNNNNNNNNNNNNNNNNNNNNNNNNNNNNNNNNNNNNNNNNNNNNNNNNNNNNNNNNNNNNNNNNNNNNNNNNNNNNNNNNNNNNNNNNNNNNNNNNNNNNNNNNNNNNNNNNNNNNNNNNNNNNNNNNNNNNNNNNNNNNNNNNNNNNNNNNNNNNNNNNNNNNNNNNNNNNNNNNNNNNNNNNNNNNNNNNNNNNNNNNNNNNNNNNNNNNNNNNNNNNNNNNNNNNNNNNNNNNNNNNNNNNNNNNNNNNNNNNNNNNNNNNNNNNNNNNNNNNNNNNNNNNNNNNNNNNNNNNNNNNNNNNNNNNNNNNNNNNNNNNNNNNNNNNNNNNNNNNNNNNNNNNNNNNNNNNNNNNNNNNNNNNNNNNNNNNNNNNNNNNNNNNNNNNNNNNNNNNNNNNNNNNNNNNNNNNNNNNNNNNNNNNNNNNNNNNNNNNNNNNNNNNNNNNCCGCCCAGGGCGCCGCCGCCCGCGCCCCCGGCAGACGCCGGCCGCCUGCUUGGCGCCGCCGCCUCCCCGUGUCUCCCCGCGCCCCACACGUCGGGACCCGGCCGGAUCCGGUGAGAUCCGGCCCGGAUCCGCCCAUCUCCGCCGUCUCCUCCAACUCCGGUGAGUUCUCCGACCGCCUCGAAGUCCGUGCCCGAUCCAGAUCCGAGGUUGACUUCGUUUUUCAGCCAGUCCCUGUAAUUUUGUAUAUUUUAUGCCCCUGUUCGUUGCAUCAUAACUUGCUGCAUACUGCCCCGUUUCGUGCGUGUAAUAUGUCAAAUUUUUUGCCUCGAUGAGUACUUCAUUUCAUUCCAUUGCAUCAUGUUCAUUUGAGUCCAUCUUGAUGCUUGAAUCAUCGUUGCAAGAGUGCUAUGUGAUGUUAACCUGCUGAAACUGUUAUAACUUGGUGUUUUGUCAUUUUUGUUGCAUUUGAUGUGUGCAUCCUAUGAGCUUGAUGUCUACAUGUGUUUUGUGCUACAUCAUGCCAUCUUUACAGUGGUGCAAUCCAUGUAUUUUUGUGAGUCUUGUACUGAGUGCAUCGAGCUUUUUAAGUAGGGUACGUGCUGUUGCUGUUUUGCUAGGCUGAUUCUGUUAUAUUAUGAUGCUAUGUAAACCUACUGCUACAAGUCAUUCUAUGCAUAAUCUGGAGAUGUUAACUAAGGAUGUUUUGUUAUACAUGUCAUGCUCUAUCCAUUAAUGCCCCUGGUUGCAUUUAUAGCCUUCCGUAACUUGUUGUUAUCUUGCUCCAAACUUGCUAAAUAAUGUUGCUGUCAGCCUGUUAACUUUAAGUUCAGUUUUGCCAUGAGCUUUUCUAGUGAUCCAAGCAUGCUAUGAACUUGCUAUUGCCAUGUUUAGCUUCAUAAACAUGUAUUCUUACUGUUCGUUGCCUUGCCAUGCCAUGUAUUUCUUUGUGGUGAGUGGUACAAGCUCACCAACAUGCCUACUUAUUGUUGUUCCUGCCAUGUUUGAAUCUGUCAUAUUACUUGCUAUAUUUACAUGGGUGCCAUCAUAUUUUCUGUGCCCUUUUGGCUCAUGGUCAGUAAGGGACUUUUGUUCUAUGAAAUUAGUAGAAUCAUGACAUGCCUUUGUUUGCUAUGAUAAGUUCCUGUAACAUGUUGUUUGAUAGCUCUAAACAGUGCAACCUGAUGUUAUUCCUGCUAAGCCUGAAAUUGUUAUUAUUUGCAAUCUUGCCAUGUGUGUUUGAGCAUGUUCUAGUGAUUUCUGGGGAUAUCUCAGUGUUCAUGUUUUGUCAUGCAUUACCUGUACAUCAUGUACAUGCCUCUUGUUUUCAUAUUGUGGUACUGUAGCAUGUUGUUUUGGUGCUUGCAAUAUGUCUAGUUGCUGUUAUGGACAGAUUGUUGUCAUAUCUUCUAUGGUGUGUAUGUGUUGAACCGUUGCUCCGUUUUGAGUGUGCUCUAUAUGAAACUUGCUUAGAUUUGCAUGUAGUUUCAUAUUAUCAUGUUGCAUCCUUGUUUUGAGGUGUUUGCUUGAUGUUUGUAUGCAUUUUGCAUCAAUGCCAUGUUUUACUUGUUUUGCUCAUAUCUUCUAGGCCGUAGCUCCGAACUAAAUGAACUUCAUAUGUAACUUGACUAGAAUCUCGUGUAGAUCAUCUUGGUGCUCUUUAACUUGCUGUUUAACAACUCCAACUUAAUGUUUGUUCAGAUUUGGACCAACUUUGAAACUUGCAUAUGAGGACCUACCGGAUUUGUUGUAUGUUGUUCCCGGCCUUAUUUAAACUUAUUUUGAUGUGUUGCUCUUGUAUGCAUCAUCUCUUGCCAUGAGUAGCCUCAUCUAGCUUUGUCAUGCAGCAUGCUUGGUUGUGCAUCAUGACUUGUCUAUGUGUGGUGUGUUUACUAUGUCGUGUGCUUCUUUUCGAUAGUUCCCGUUUCGUUACGAUCGUGAGGAUUCGUUCGUCUACGCUUGGUUCGUCUUCGUGGCUUCAUCUUCUUCAUGAACUCGUUCUUCGUCCUAGCGGGAUUUCAGGAAAGAUGAUCGUCACCUUGGAUCUCACUACUAUCAUUGCUAUGCUAGUUUCUUCGUUCUAUCGCUAUGCUGCGCUACCUAUCAUUUGCUCUUCAAGCCUUCCAAAUUGCCAUGUCAGCCUCUAACCUUUUUCACCCUUCCUAGCAAACCGUUGUUUGGCUAUGUUACCGCUUUGCUCAGCCCCUCUUAUAGCGUUGUUAGUUGUAGGUGAAGUUGAAGAUUGCUCCAUGGUGGACAGGAUUAUGUUGGGAUAUCACAAUAUCUUUUAUAUUAUUAAUGCAUCUAUAUAUUUGGUAAAGGGUGGAAGGCUCGGCCUUAUGCCUGGUGUUUUGUUCCACUCUUGCCGCCCUAGUUUCUGUCAUACCAGUAUUAUGUUCCCGGAUUUUGCGUUCCUUACGCGGUUGGGUGAUUUAUGGGACCCCCUUGACAGUUUGCUUUGAAUAAAACUUGUCCAGCAAGGCCCAACCUUGGUUUUACCAUUUGCCUCACCAUCACCUAUACCCUUCCCUUGGGUCGGCCAACCCGAGGGUCAUCUUUAUUUUAGCCCCCCCGGGCUAGUGAUUAUCUAAGUGCUGGUCCGAACCGAGCCGCCUGCGGGGCCCCCUCGGGGAAACUCGAGGUCUGGUUUUACUCGUAGCCUGUCUCAUCCGGUGUUGCCCUGAGAACGAGAUAUGUGCAGCUCCUAUCGGGAUUGUCGGCGCAUCGGGCGGUCUUGCUGGUCUUGUUUUACCAUUGUCGAAAUGUCUUGUAAACCGGGAUUCCGAGACUGAUCGGGUCUUCCUGGGAGAAGGAGUAUCCUUCGUUGAUUGCGAGAGCUUAUCAUGGGCUAAGUUGGGACACCCCUGCAGGGUAUAAACUUUCGAGAGCCGUGCCCGCGGUUAUGUGGCAGAUGGAAAUUUGUUAAUGUCCGGUUGUAGAUAACUUGACACCAGAUCCGAAUUAAAACGCAUCAACCGCGUGUGUAGCCGUGAUGGUCUCUUUUCGGCGGAGUCUGGGAAGUGAACACGGUUUCUGUGUUAUGUUUGACGUAAGUAGGAGCUCAGGAUCACCUCUUGAUCGUUACUAGUUGACGAUCGUUCCGUUUGCUCUCUUCCCGCUCUGAUUUGCGUAUGUUAGCCACCAUAGAUGCUUAGUCGCUGCUGCAACCUCACCACUUUACCCUUUCCUUUACCAUUAAGCUUUGCUAGUCUUGAUACCCAUGGUAAUGGGAUUGCUGAGUCCUCGUGGCUCACAGAUUACUACAACAAUAGUUGCAGGUACAGGUUACGCGAUGAUCAUGACGCGAGAGCGAUGUUUGCUUGUUUGGAGUUCUUCUUCUGCUUCUUCUUCGAUCAGGGGAUAGGUUCCAGGUCGGCAGCCUGGGCUAGCAGGGUGGAUGUCGUUUGAGUCUCUGUUUGUGUUUCAUCCGUAGUCGGAUGGUGCUCUUAUGUAAGAUGAUGUUGUAUUCGUGUGGCAUUGUAUGCCUUAUGUAUGUAUCCCUAUCUAUUAUGUAAUGUUGAUGUAAUGAUAUCCACCUUGCAAAAGCGUCUUCAAGAUGCGCUUCUAUCCUUGGUGGGACCUUCGAGUUCCUUUAUGAUAGGGUCGCAUCUUGGGCGUGACACCGAAGCCCCGACCAUUCCCAAUGAAUAGCUUGUGAAUUGUCGCAAUAAGGUCCACCUUCACUAUCUCCCAAGCACUUUGAAAGAACAGGCCGAUGAAGCCAUCCGGAACCGGAGCACGGUCAGACGGCGAGUCCUUGAUGACCGCCCAAAUUUCCUCCUCCUGGAAGACACAGUCUUGCUCCGAGAAAUCGACAGGUUCAAUCCCUAGAGCUUACAUGUCCAGUGUAAAGUCACGGGCAGUAGCCUUACCCAACACCUCUUUGUAGGCCUCAUGGAAAGCAUCCACUUUUCCUUUCUGAUCGGUGUCCUAUCAUCCACUUGAUAGAAGAGAUAUAAUUCAUCGUACGUCUCCCGUUUGCCACUAGAUGAAAGAGUUGUGUGUUUGCAUCCCCUUCCCGAAACCACGAGAUCCUAGAUCUCUGUCUUGCGAUCGUCCUUUCGAGGGAAGCUAGGGCCAACACAAGGUGUUUGAGAGUUUUCCUGAGCCAGUGCUCCUCGGACGAUAAAAUUCGCAUCUCCUAGGCACAGUCGAACCUCAAGAUCACUGGGUUUGCAAUAGCAAUUUGCAAUUUAAUGUUGCCCACUUUCUUCUGUCCCCAAGUUGCAAGCGCGCACGCUGUGUUUCUGAGAAGGGUAUCAAGUCUCAAAAAGGGGUCUGUGAUAGUAGCCUCACACACCCAUGCCUCCUUCACAACGUCCAUAAAGCCCUCCAUCUUAAUCCAGAAUUUCUCAAAACGAAAGCGCCUUUUGGUGAAUAUAUGUUCUGCUAGGGCGAGAUGGAGUGGACAAUGAUCCGAUGUCGAGGUGGAGAGCGCUUGUAGUAGAAAAUCAGGGUGGUCCAACUCCCAAUCCACAGAGACAAAGGAGCGAUCAAUUUUGGUGAGCGUGGGUACCCCCCUUUCAUUACUUGAUAUGUCUCCAACGUAUCUAUAAUUUUUGAUUGUUCCAUGUUAUUAUAUUACCCCUUUUGGAUGUUUAUGGGCUUUAUUUUACAUAUUUAUAUCAUUUUUGGGACUAACCUACUAACCGGAGGCCCAACCCGUAUUGUUGUUUUUUUCCCUAUUUCAGUAUUUCGAAGAAACGGAAUAUCAAACGGAGUCCAAACGGAAUGAAACCUUCGAGAGCGUGAUUUGUGGAACGAACGUGAUCCGGAGAACUUGGAGUAUAAGUCAAGAAGCAAACGAGGCGGCCAGGAGAUAGGAGGGCUUGCCCACCCCUCCUAGGCGCGCCCCCUGUCUCCUGGGCCCCACGAGCGGCCACCGACGUACUUCUUCCUCCUAUAUAUACCUACAUACCCCAAAAACAUCCAGAGAGCCAACGGAAAACAAUUUCCACCGCCGUAACCUUCUGUAUCCGCGAGAUCCCAUCUUGGAGCCUUCGCUGGCGCUCCACCGGAGGGGGAAUCGACCAUGGAGGGCUUCUACAUCAACACCAUAGCCUCUCCAAUGAGUUGUGAGUAGUUUACCACAGACCUUCGGGUCCAUAGUUAUUAGCUAGAUGGCUUCUUCUCUCUUUUUGGAUCUCAAUACAAUGUUCUCCCCCUCUCUCAUGGAAAUCUAUUCGAUGUAAACUCUUUUUGCGGUGUGUUUGUCGAGAUCCGAUGAAUUGUGGGUUUAUGAUCAAGUUUAUCUAUGAGAAGUCAUUGAAUCUUCUCUGAAUUCUUUUAUGUAUGAUUGAGUUAUCUUUGCAAGUCUCUAUGAAUUAUUAAUACAUCUCCAACGUAUCUAUAAUUUUUGAUUACUCCAUGCUACUUUAUCUACUGUUUUAGGCAAUAUUGGGCUUUAUUAUCCACUUUUAUAUUAUUUUUGGGACUAACCUAUUAACCGGAGGCCCAGCCCAGAUUUGCUGUUUUAUGCCUAUUUCAGUGUUUCGAGGAAAAGGAAUAUCAGACGGAGUCAAAACGGAACGAAAUCAACUAGAGAACUUAUUUUUGGAAGGAAAGCAACCUGAUAGACUUGGAGUGUACGUCAGGGGAGUACCGGGCUGCCCACGAGGGUGGGGGCGCGCCCACCCCCUUGGGCGCGCCCCCCUCCCUCGUGAGCACCCCGGAGGUCCACCGACGUACCCCCUGCACCCAUAUAUACCUACGUACCCUAAAACUUCCAGAACAGAAAAUAGAUCGGGAGUUCCGCCGCCGCAAGCCUCUAUAGCCACCAAAAACCAACCGUGACCCUGUUCCGGCACCCUGCCGGAGGGGGAUCCCAUCACCGGAGGCCAUAUUCAUCAUCCCGGCGCUAUCCAUGACGAGGAGGGAGUAGUUCACCCUCGGGGCUGAGGGUAUGUACCAGUAGCUAUGUGUUUGAUCUCUCUCUCUCUCGUGUUCUCUCUCGUGUUCCUCUAUGGCACGAUCUUGAUGUAUCCCGAGCUUUGCUAUUGUAGUUGGAUCUUAUGAUGUUUCUCCCCCUCUACUCUUGUGAUGAAUUGAGUUUCCCCUUUGAAGUUAUCUUAUCGGAUUGAUUCUUUAAUGAACACUUGAUGUAUGUCUUGCCGUGAUUAUCUGUGGUGACAAUGGGAUAUCAUGUGCCACUUGAUGUAUGUUUUGGUGAUCAACUUGCGGGUUUCGUGACACUUGGGAACCUAUGCAUAGGGGUUGGCACACGUUCUUGACUCUCCGGUAGUAGUUUUGGGGCGCUCUUUGAAGUACUUUUAUGUUGGUUGGAUGAAUCUGAGAUUGUGUGAUGCAUAUCGUAUAAUCAUGCCCACGGAUACUUGAGGUGACAAUGGAGUAUCUAGGUGACAUUAGGGUUUUGGUUGAUUUGUGUCUUAAGGUGUUAUUCUAGUACGAACUCUUUUAUAGAUCGAUCCGAAAGAAUAAAUUUGUGGUGGUUUCAUACCCGACCAUAAUCUCUACAUUUGUUCUCUGCUAUUAGUGUCUUUGGAGUGACUCUUUGUUGCAUGUUGAGGGCUUGUCAUAUGUUCUAUCUAUGUUAUUAUUGUUGAGAGAACUUGCACUAGUGAAAGUAUGAACCCUAGGCCUUGUUUGCUAUCAUUGCAAUACCAUUUACGCUCACUUUUACCACUUGUUACCUUGCUGUUUUUAUAUUUUCAGAUUACAAAAACCUAUAUCUACUAUCUAUUUUGCACUUGUAUCUUCAUCUCUUCGCCGAACUAGUGCACCUAUACAAUUUACCAUUGUAUUGGGUGUGUUGGGGACACAAGAUGUAACGCCCUCGAUGCGGCUAUAUCUCCCACGUGUCGAAGCACGACUUAGAGGCAUAACCGCAUUGAAAGCAAUGUCGCAAGUGAGGUAAUCUUCACACAACCCAUGUAAUACAUAAGGGCAAGAGAUACAUAGUUUGCUUACAAUCGCCACUUCACACAAUUACAUGAAUAAAGCAUUACAUCAUCCAGAUACAAUCAAGGUCCGACUACGGAACCAAAAUAAAAGAAGAACCCCAAAUGCGACAAAGGUCCCCGAUCGACCCCAACUGGGCUCCACUACUGAUCAACUAAAACGAAACAACACAAAGGGCAAGAUCUUCAUCGAGCUCCUCCUUGAGCUUGGUUGCGUCUCCUGCUCGGUAAUAUAAGCACCUGCAAACUGGUUUUGGAAGUAUCUGUGAGCCACAGGGACUCAGCAAUCUCGCACCCGCGAGAUCAAGACUAUUUAAGCUUAUAGGAAGGCUGGGGUAAUAAGGUGGAGCUGCAGCAAGCGACUAGCAUAUAUGGUGGCUAACAUACGCAAAUGAGAGCGAGAAGAGAAGGCAAAGCACGGUCGAUAAAGGUAUGAUCAAGAAGUGAUCCUGGACUACCUACGUCAAGCAUAACUCCAACAACCAUGUUCACUUCCCGGACCCCGCCGGAAAGAGACCAUCAUGGUUACACACGCGGUUGAUGUAUUUUAAUUAAGGUCAACUUCGGGUUUUCUACAACCGGACGUUAACAAAUUCCCAUCUGCCCAUAACCACGGGCACGGCUUUCGAAAGAUAAUACCCUGCAGGGGUGUCCCAACUUAGCCCAUGACAAGCUCUCACGGUCAACGAAGGAAUAGACCUCCACCCGAGACAUUCCGAUCAGACUCGGUAUCCCGGUACAACAAGACGUUUCGACAGGGUAAAACUAAACCAGCAACACCGCCCGAAUGUGCCGACAAAUCCCGAUAGGAGCUGCACAUAUCUCUUUCUCAGGGCACACUCAGAUUGUCUUAGGUACGGGUAGGCCAACCCAGAGUUGCCCCUGGUGGUCACCGGCAGCUGACAGGUUGGACCAACACUCAGAGGAGCACUGGCCCGGGGGGUAAAAUAAUGAUGACCCUUGAGUCCGCGAAACCCAAGGGAAAAAGAGGCUAGGUGGCGAAUGGUAAAACCAAUGUUGGGCAUUGCUGGAAGAGCUUUACUUAAGGCGAACUGUCAAGGGGUUCCCAUUAUAGCCCAACCGCGUAAGGGACGCAAAAUCCGGGAACAUAACACCGAUAUGACGGAAACUAGGGCGGCAAGAGUGGAACAAAACACCAGGCAUAAGGCCGAGCCUUCCACCCUUCACCAAGUAUAUAGAUGCAUUAAUUAAAUAAGAUAUAACGUGAUAUCCCAACAAGUAAAUAAAUAUUCCAACAAGGAACAACAUCUCCAUGUUCCAACAAGGAACAAACUUCAAUCUUCACCUGCAACUAACAACGCUAUAAGAGGGGCUGAGCAAAGCGGUAACAUAGCCAAACAACGGUUUGCUAGGACAUGGUGGGUUAGAGGUUUGACAUGGCAAUUUGGGAGGCUGACAAGCAAAUGGUAGGCAUCGUAGCAUUGGCAAAGCAAAAGAGCGAGCAAACUAGCAUAGCAAAGAUAGUAGUGAUUUCGAGGGUAUGAUCAUCUUGCCUGAAAUCCCGCAAGGAAGAAGAACGAGUCCAUGAAGAAGACAAACGGACGUAGUUGAACGGAUCCUCACAAACGCGACGUUAUCGGAACCAACCCGAAGAAGCAAUCACCGGAAAAGAAGCACACAACAUAGUAAACAACCAGCACAUCAACAUGGCAUGAUGCGCAAACAAGUAUGAUGCAUGUCCGGUUUAAUGAGGCAUGGCAUGGCAAAGUGCAACAAACAAUACUACAAGUUAAGUGGAGCUCAAUAUGCAACGAGGUGCAUGUUGACGGAACACCACAUCAAUUAUUUAGUUAUCUCUCGUUUAAGCUACCCAACAAUAUUAACUGUUGUUAAACAUGGCAAGAGGUGAAGCAGAAUAUAAACUAUACCAUCUAAACAAUUUAAAUGGGGCCGGAUAUAAAAACAACAAAUCCGGUAAAUCCCCAUAUAAGUUUAGCAAUUUAAUGCAACAACAAUUUAAACAUUUUAAAUGUUGUUAUCAUGAUGCGGAUGACAUAUACAAGUUUUAUGCAAUUUUUAUGAAAAUGUUGACAAGAGCAUUAAGAAGCAUUUGGUCACCAUGGUGGAACAAAAAGGGUGCCACGGCGACGAAUCCGAAAAUGAUGCCACGGCAACAUUCCGGUCCCGGUAACUCAUGGAGGUACCGGUGCAAAAGGAAGUGUGACGUGAGCAAGUCAUGCGAUAGAAGGUGGGGUGAUCCCGGAUACCAGGUUCCCACAAGAUGGUGGCAUGGCAACGAGGAGAAACCUGCACGCGACAAUUUCGGACACGGUGCAAACACGGGCAUCUCAUACAACACACAUGCAUUCGUUCCACGGCGGUCGUUUCGGGUUAUACCUUCGAAGCGUUCAAACGAGAUGGUUCGCAUUCAGAGGGGUGUAGAGGAAGUAGGCGUUCACGGGACGUCGUCGGAAGUAGUUGUACUCGUGCCGACGGUAGUGGAAGUAGUGAUACUAUUCGUCGGUCGUCGUGGUACUUGGGGUCUUCGGACUUGUCGGUCUCGAUUCUUGCGACGGUAGUGGUACACGUGGUAGAUGAACUUGGCGAUCCGAAGGGGUACUUGGCGGGUCGUCGAGGUACGCGUUCUUGGAGAUCCCGUAGACGCGGUAGGGGUACUUGACGCGUCACCGUGUAAACGAACUUGGCGCAUCCGAAGGGUACUUUUAAGCCCACGUAGUCGUACACGUUUUGUAGACGUCCGGUGCGUCCGUAGAUGUACUUGGCGAAAUCCGCGAAGGCGUCCUUGGGCUCCCUGGUUGCCGAGUCUUGGCAAAACGAAGGGGAUCUCGGCGUCCAAGCGAGGAUGAAGACCGCGAUGCGAGGAGGUGGCUUGGGGUCAAAAGACCAAGGCAAAGUGGCGCAGGAAGGUGAGGCUGCCGCAGGAGCUUGAGGGCGCAAGUGGCCAUGGCGCUGAGCGACGAGCUGCUGCUGCUCGAAGCGGACAGAGGCAACUGGGGGGCACGGAUGAGGCCGGGAAGACGGGGAUGAACGCCCAGGUCGCAGGGGAGGCGGGCGACGGAGCACGAGGUGCACGGAGCGGCGUCGGCGAGAGGAUGCAGCAGCAGAAGCUGCUGCCGGCGGCGAGGCCGAGGCGGUGCGGUUCCAGGGGCGGCGAGGAGGAGGUCGAGCACGGCGCUCGCGCGCAGAGGCGACGAGCUCAAGGAGCGGCUCCCCUUGAGCGCUCGGGCGAUGGGGACGGAUGGCGCCGGUGGAGGGAGGAGGCGGCGAGGGGAAACGGAGAGGGGAUCGCGCGAGGUGGAUCGGGAGGAGCGGGGCUCUCCCUGGCGAUGCGAGCAUGCGCGCGAUGGGGAUCGAGUGCGGCGCUGAGGGAGGACGAGGAGGAGAUGGGAUCGGGCAGGGGAUGUUUGGACCGGUCGGGCUAGGGUUAGGAGGGGCGCGGCUGGGCCAUGAUGCAAAUGGGCCGGCCUGGUUGCUGGGCUGCAAGGCUGUCUUCUCCCUCUCUCUUCAAAACUCUUCCAAAAACAGAAAAGCAAAGAAAGAAAGGGAGAGAAAAGAAAUGAGUGGAAAAGAAUUUGGGCAUGGGGGUAAUUUUCCCGGACUCGCAAAAAUGAGUUUGUUCCGAGAAAAAUAGAAAUGGGCAUGAUCGAAAGAUUUAAAUUCAAACUCAUUUGAAAUUCAAAUGGGUUUGAACUAGGACUUGAUGAAAGGAAGGUCCAAAAAUGUUCGGAUUUUUGGUGGAGCUCCGGAAAAUGAUGAAAUAAAUAUUGGCAAGGUUGGAGAACAAGAAUUGAGACAACAGAGGCAUGGAGAAUUAUUUGGAAGUGUGUUAUGGUGAUUCCAAAAAUAGUGGAAUAUUUAAUAUAGCUCCCUAAUAUUGGAGGAUAUGUUAUAAAGAGAAGUCACCAUGUGAGUUCCCUCGGUUUAAAUAGAUCAAAAGAUCUAUGCAAUUUAUUUAGUUGAGGUUUUAAAAAUUAAUGAUAUGAUGGCAUGAUGACAUGAUGCAAUGCACAUGAUGCAAGGAUGAAUGCACGAACAAAACAAAAUCACACAACGAAACUCGGAGUAGCUGGAAGUCUUCUGGAGCGUCGGUCUCGGGGCGUUACAACACUCCACCACUAUAAGAGGAUCUCGUCCCGAGAUCUAGGAUGGCACCGAAGAGAAAUGGAAGAGGAAGAGAAGAGGUAAAACUAAGUUGCUUCUUUGACCAAUGAGUGAAACCAAAGAACCUUGAGAGGUUGAACAAAUUGAAAGAAAGAAUACAAAGAAGAUGAACGAGAUUGCAAACAAUCCGUUAGAAAGAGGAACAAGGAACAUUACGAGAACUUGAAGGUUGCAAAGACAUGAAUCAAGAGUUUAAUGGACAAGAUAGAAUUCGAAACCACUCCGGUUAAAACAAGAUGAGAGGGGAAGAAUUCGGGCAGUACUCCGGUUGAACAUGGAAGGAAUAGAACAUGAACUUGAGAAGAUGGGAUGUUACUUGAUGAAAUCAACAAUACACUGCCUCCAGAACUAUUGAAAGAAUGGCACAAUGGGUAAGAAGGAUUUCAGACAGCUCUCCAUUUGAGGAAGGAGGGAAAACUUGAUAAGAUUAGAGAACUCGAAUGAAAACACGACACUCCGGUUAAAUGGAUAAGCAAGAAAAGAACACGAUCCUCACGAAUCGAGAUGGUGAGUGAAAAGAGCAACGUCACAAUGCCUCCGAAAGAAAUAAUAGAAGAUAUAUCAUUGGAAUAACAUAAUGGAGAAGAAAAUGCCAACUUCUGCCACAAAUGAGUUUGGAAAGCAUCCUUGCAAAGAAGAAUUGAACGGAGUUGUUGGAAAAUCAACAACGAAAAGCACAAGCUUGUAGUGGGCUUAUGGAAACAUCUCAACAUUAUGAGGUGACAACCGGCCACUAACGGAAACAAUUACUUGCUUGAGAUCAAUGAAGAGAUGAAAACUGCUUCACCAAGAUGAUAGAGAUAUUACUUGGAUCAUUGAUAAGCACCACAAAUAGCAACAUUCCUUAGGGAAGGCUUUAGGUGAAAUCUAUACCAAGAUAACUCCAACAACGAGGUUGAUGGAUUUAAAAAUAACUCAUUCUUAACAACAUGUGAAUCAUGGAACAUGAACUCAAAUUAUCAAGAAUGACAUAAUACCACCUCCAAAAUAUGGUAGAAAGAAUUGCACUCCGGAUUACCAUAUAAAGAAAGCUUUUGCUCCUUAGGAAAGAAUCUCGAUGAAAACUUUGAGAAGGGAAUUAAAUCCUUGAUGAACCAUCAUGUAGAACCUCCAUGAAGAACUCCGGUAAACAAAAGGAAUGAAAAGAAAGAGAAAUUGAAAACACAAGGUGAAUCCUUGCAAUGAUUUAGAUGGACCUCCGUGAUAAUUAGAGCUUGGAACUCCGGGAAAAAGAGAAGAUGAAACAAAUGAAACCGAGAAUUUUAAGGGCCUCCGAAAUAAAGAAUUAAUCACUUGGAUGAACAAGAAUAAGAAUUAUGUUAUGCUUAUCCUUCACCAAUUAAAUUGAUGACAAUCAACGGAUUUGGCAUACUACUUAUUCUCGUAGGAAGGAUUAAAAGAGAUAUAUCAAAACUUGAGAAGGUCUUCAACGAACCACCGGUAGGAUUGGAACAACAAAUGAAUUGAUAUGAUGAACAAGGAAGAGAGAUCUUGAAAGAACCACCGUAAGAAUUGAAAAUGAUCGAAGUAGGGAUGCAUCACCGGUAAGAAUUAGCAAAUGAACGAAGGUGCUUGAGACAAACUAGAUACAUGAGAACAAAGAGAUCAAGAACUGAUUAGAGGAUAUUCGAUAGAUGCACCGGCAAGAUAGGAGAAUGAUAACUGACGGCCGAGAAUGAAUAAACAUGAAUUGAUGGACUCCGGAUGACAAACUGAGAAGACUCUUGAAUAUCUCCUGAUGGGUGAAAAAGAUUCUCACAAUCGAAAACAAUUAUGAGAGGAUGGCAACAAGCUAGCACCAUGAAUCUUGAAGAGAAUAGAGAAAGAUUAAAGAGAAACUCUUCUUCGGUCUUCAAAUGAUGAGAAUGACAACGAGAAACACCACCAAGAAUUAUUGAGGCACACCGGAAGAAUCAAAAGCGAAGAGGUUGAGCCAACUAUGAAAAGAAUUUGAAAGAUCUCGGAGAAAAGCAUUUGACUGAUGAUAACUCAUUCUUACGUCAAACUUGGAGAAGAAUUUAGGAUAGCUCUGGGAAAAUAGAAGAGUCAGGUAAGAUCCUGGGAAAAGACCUGUGGGUUAGGGCCCACUCAAAAGAACACCGUUGAAAAGAUUUAAAAGAGAUGUUGCACCGGUUGAAUUAAAUGACUUGAAUGAGAUACCAAACUCGAAAGAGCUUGAACUAAUGCAGAGUGGAAACACAAAUCUUCGAGAUAUCUUGAGUACUCCGGAAUAACAAAUAGCGAGAAGUAGAAUUAUAAUGAGGAGCACCAUCAAGAGAAGGUAUUUGAGACGAGAAAAAGGGGAUAUAAUCGACAAAUCUUGACUUGAAUCCACCGGAGAAGAGAAAGGAAUGAGGAAUGACGAACUUGAAGCUCCAUUAGAAUCUUCAUGAGAAUCACCGGAUAAGAACAUUGAUGGAAAAGAAUGGAGAAACUUCCCAUCAAUAAAAUGGAUACUUGAAGAAGAAAUCUUAGCCCUUGAAGAAAAACAAAAGGGAGGGAGGGUGGGAAAAACAAAGGCAACUUGGAGACGGAUGAAACAAACACCGUUGAGAGAACUGAGAGGUGAUCUUGCGAAUGUUGAAAUGAUCGGAUCCACUUGAAGAGAAAGACGCUGGUUGAAAAGGAUUGACAUGACAAUCUCGAUUGUCGAGAAGGAUUGGUAUUCACAUCGGAGUAUGAGAACACCAUUUCGGAAAGGUAUGGAAUCAACACUUGACAUUGAAGCAACUCGAAUACCACAACUCAAAACAAAAACAAAGGACUGGCUUGCAGAAUAAGCCGGAACAAACAUAUGAUAGAGAUUUCGUCCGAAGUUUUCGUGGUGGGGCCUACACGGGCUCGAUCGUACAGCACCAUCAUGUACAAGGCAGUGCACAUGACAUACGAAGUGUCCCCGAACCAGCAUAGCCAAGGGUUCUUUAAGACACAACGAGACCACUGUAAAAACGACCGUGAAUAGGCGGACCACUAGACGUCGAACCCCAAUUCAUAUCAUACAUCUGUCGGAAAGAUAUCCUAAGAGCUACUCGAAUUCCCACCUAUGAAACUCCCGAAAUUUUCCGGUUAUGCAAUCAGGUGUUGGGGAUACAGGGGAAGCAUAAUAUCUCACCCAAAACUAACAAAUCCUACAUCCAGCUGUAUCCAUCCUUCAACACAUAACCAAGAAACCUUCGGAAACCAUCUACCUCAACCUUCGAAAAGCAUCCGUUAUACAAGUCAUGGCAAUACUCCCGUACUCACCUCAGUACUGGGUUAUCGGGGUUAUCUCACCAACAAACUGCAUAAAAGAGAUUUUCGAUGUCGGCGUACUAAACUCAGGUAUUCCAGAACUGCAACGAUAAAAUUAUGACGACAACACCUCAGAGCUCAACUCCCCGGGACACUUCCACUAAACCCCUGACAGGAGGCACCAAGACAAUGUUGUCAUCAUAAAACCAUCGGAACGAUUCCAAGAUACCCGCGUGAUCCUAAAAAUUUUUUAGUGAAAUUUGAGAAGAGAAGAGUCAAAACUCUACGCCAAGAUGCCUUACCAGAGCGAUGAGGAGACUGGGAAGUAAAAAGAAUUCCUAAACUCUCCGAUAUAUAAUUCCUAAAUGACUCAAAACAUUUUUUCUAGACACAACUCGGCCGCUAAAAACGAUCAAGCAGUGGGGCUCCUAAGGUCGGGGAAGGCUCUGAUACCAACUUGUAACGCCCUCGAUGCGGCUAUAUCUCCCACGUGUCGAAGCACGACUUAGAGGCAUAACCGCAUUGAAAGCAAUGUCGCAAGUGAGGUAAUCUUCACACAACCCAUGUAAUACAUAAGGGCAAGAGAUACAUAGUUGGCUUACAAUCGCCACUUCACACAAUUACAUGAAUAAAGCAUUACAUCAUCCAGAUACAAUCAAGGUCCGACUACGGAACCAAAAUAAAAGAAGAACCCCAAAUGCGACAAAGGUCCCCGAUCGACCCCAACUGGGCUCCACUACUGAUCAACUAAAACGAAACAACACAAAGGGCAAGAUCUUCAUCGAGCUCCUCCUUGAGCUUGGUUGCGUCUCCUGCUCGGUAAUAUAAGCACCUGCAAACUGGUUUUGGAAGUAUCUGUGAGCCACAGGGACUCAGCAAUCUCGCACCCGCGAGAUCAAGACUAUUUAAGCUUAUAGGAAGGCUGGGGUAAUAAGGUGGAGCUGCAGCAAGCGACUAGCAUAUAUGGUGGCUAACAUACGCAAAUGAGAGCGAGAAGAGAAGGCAAAGCACGGUCGAUAAAGGUAUGAUCAAGAAGUGAUCCUGGACUACCUACGUCAAGCAUAACUCCAACAACCAUGUUCACUUCCCGGACCCCGCCGGAAAGAGACCAUCAUGGUUACACACGCGGUUGAUGUAUUUUAAUUAAGGUCAACUUCGGGUUUUCUACAACCGGACGUUAACAAAUUCCCAUCUGCCCAUAACCGCGGGCACGGCUUUCGAAAGAUAAUACCCUGCAGGGGUGUCCCAACUUAGCCCAUGACAAGCUCUCACGGUCAACGAAGGAAUAGACCUCCACCCGAGACAUUCCGAUCAGACUCGGUAUCCCGGUACAACAAGACGUUUCGACAGGGUAAAACUAAACCAGCAACACCGCCCGAAUGUGCCGACAAAUCCCGAUAGGAGCUGCACAUAUCUCUUUCUCAGGGCACACUCAGAUUGUCUUAGGUACAGGUAGGCCAACCCAGAGUUGCCCCUGGUGGUCACCGGCAGCUGACAGGUUGGACCAACACUCAGAGGAGCACUGGCCCGGGGGGGUAAAAUAAUGAUGACCCUUGAGUCCGCGAAACCCAAGGGAAAAAGAGGCUAGGUGGCGAAUGGUAAAACCAAUGUUGGGCAUUGCUGGAAGAGCUUUACUUAAGGCGAACUGUCAAGGGGUUCCCAUUAUAGCCCAACCGCGUAAGGGACGCAAAAUCCGGGAACAUAACACCGAUAUGACGGAAACUAGGGCGGCAAGAGUGGAACAAAACACCAGGCAUAAGGCCGAGCCUUCCACCCUUCACCAAGUAUAUAGAUGCAUUAAUUAAAUAAGAUAUAACGUGAUAUCCCAACAAGUAAAUAAAUAUUCCAACAAGGAACAACAUCUCCAUGUUCCAACAAGGAACAAACUUCAAUCUUCACCUACAACUAACAACGCUAUAAGAGGGGCUGAGCAAAGCGGUAACAUAGCCAAACAACGGUUUGCUAGGACAUGGUGGGUUAGAGGUUUGACAUGGCAAUUUGGGAGGCUGACAAGCAAAUGGUAGGCAUCGUAGCAUUGGCAAAGCAAAAGAGCGAGCAAACUAGCAUAGCAAAGAUAGUAGUGAUUUCGAGGGUAUGAUCAUCUUGCCUGAAAUCCCGCAAGGAAGAAGAACGAGUCCAUGAAGAAGACAAACGGACGUAGUUGAACGGAUCCUCACAAACGCGACGUUAUCGGAACCAACCCGAAGAAGCAAUCACCGGAAAAGAAGCACACAACAUAGUAAACAACCAGCACAUCAACAUGGCAUGAUGCGCAAACAAGUAUGAUGCAUGUCCGGUUUAAUGAGGCAUGGCAUGGCAAAGUGCAACAAACAAUACUACAAGUUAAGUGGAGCUCAAUAUGCAACGAGGUGCAUGUUGACAGAACACCACAUCAAUUAUUUAGUUAUCUCUCGUUUAAGCUACCCAACAAUAUUAACUGUUGUUAAACAUGGCAAGAGGUGAAGCAUAAUAUAAACUAUACCAUCUAAACAAUUUAAAUGGGGCCGGAUAUAAAAACAACAAAUCCGGUAAAUCCCCAUAUAAGUUUAGCAAUUUAAUGCAACAACAAUUUAAACAUUUUAAAUGUUGUUAUCAUGAUGCGGAUGACAUAUACAAGUUUUAUGCAAUUUUUAUGAAAAUGUUGACAAGAGCAUUAAGAAGCAUUUGGUCACCAUGGUGGAACAAAAAGGGUGCCACGGCGACGAAUCCGAAAAUGAUGCCACGGCAACAUUCCGGUCCCGGUAACUCAUGGAGGUACCGGUGCAAAAGGAAGUGUGACGUGAGCAAGUCAUGCGAUAGAAGGUGGGGUGAUCCCGGAUACCGGGUUCCCACAAGAUGGUGGCAUGGCAACGAGGAGAAACCUGCACGCGACAAUUUCGGACACGGUGCAAACGCGGGCAUCUCAUACAACACACAUGCAUUCGUUCCACGGCGGUCGUUUCGGGUUAUACCUUCGAAGCGUUCAAACGAGACGGUUCGCAUUCGGAGCGGUGUAGAGGAAGUAGGCGUUCACGGGACGUCGUCGGAAGUAGUUGUACUCGUGCCGACGGUAGUGGAAGUAGUGAUACUAUUCAUCGGUCGUCGUGGUACUUGGGGUCUUCGGACUUGUCGGUCUCGAUUCUUGCGACGGUAGUGGUACACGUGGUAGAUGAACUUGGCGAUCCGAAGGGGUACUUGGCGGGUCGUCGAGGUACGCGUUCUUGGAGAUCCCGUAGACGCGGUAGGGGUACUUGACGCGUCACCGUGUAAACGAACUUGGCGCAUCCGAAGGGUACUUUUAAGCCCACGUAGUCGUACACGUUUUGUAGACGUCCGGUGCGUCCGUAGAUGUACUUGGCGAAAUCCGCGAAGGCGUCCUUGGGCUCCCUGGUUGCCAAGUCUUGGCAAAACGAAGGGGAUCUCAGCGUCCAAGCGAGGAUGAAGACCGCGAUGCGAGGAGGUGGCUUGGGGUCAAAAGACCAAGGCAAAGUGGCGCAGGAAGGUGAGGCUGCCGCAGGAGCUUGAGGGCGCGAGUGGCCAUGGCGCUGAGCGACGAGCUGCUGCUGCUCGAAGCGGACAGAGGCAACUGGGGGGCACGGACGAGGCCGGGAAGACGGGGAUGAACGCCCAGGUCGCAGGGGAGGCGGGCGACGGAGCACGAGGUGCACGGAGCGGCGUCGGCGAGAGGAUGCAGCAGCAGAAGCUGCUGCCGGCGGCGAGGCCGAGGUGGUGCGGUUCCAGGGGCGGCGAGGAGGAGGUCGAGCACGGCGCUCGCGCGCAGAGGCGACGAAGCUCAGUGGCGACGAGCUCAAGGAGCGGCUCCCCUUGAGCGCUCGGGCGAUGGGGACGGAUGGCGCCGGUGGAGGGAGGAGGCGGCGAGGGGAAACGGAGAGGGGAUCGCGCGAGGUGGAUCGGGAGGAGUGGGGCUCUCCCUGGCGAUGCGAGCAUGCGCGCGAUGGGGAUCGAGUGCGGCGCUGAGGGAGGACGAGGAGGAGAUGGGAUCGGGCAGGGGAUGUUUGGACCGGUCGGGCUAGGGUUAGGAGGGGCGCGGCUGGGCCAUGAUGCAAAUGGGCCGGCCUGGUUGCUGGGCUGCAAGGCUGUCUUCUCCCUCUCUCUUCAAAACUCUUCCAAAAAACAGAAAAGCAAAGAAAGAAAGGGAGAGAAAAGAAAUGAGUGGAAAAGAAUUUGGGCAUGGGGGUAAUUUUCCCGGACUCGCAAAAAUGAGUUUGUUCCGAGAAAAAUAGAAAUGGGCAUGAUCGAAAGAUUUAAAUUCAAACUCAUUUGAAAUUCAAAUGGGUUUGAACUAGGACUUGAUGAAAGGAAGGUCCAAAAAUGUUCGGAUUUUUGGUGGAGCUCCGGAAAAUGAUGAAAUAAAUAUUGGCAAGGUUGGAGAACAAGAAUUGAGACAACAAAGGCAUGGAGAAUUAUUUGGAAGUGUGUUAUGGUGAUUCCAAAAAUAGUGGAAUAUUUAAUAUAGCUCCCUAAUAUUGGAGGAUAUGUUAUAAAGAGAAGUCACCAUGUGAGUUCCCUCGGUUUAAAUAGAUCAAAAGAUCUAUGCAAUUUAUUUAGUUGAGGUUUUAAAAAUUAAUGAUAUGAUGGCAUGAUGACAUGAUGCAAUGCACAUGAUGCAAGGAUGAAUGCACGAACAAAACAAAAUCACACAACGAAACUCGGAGUAGCUGGAAGUCUUCUGGAGCGUCGGUCUCGGGGCGUUACACAAGAGACUCUUUGUUAUUUGGUUGCAGGGUUGUUUGAGAGAGACCAUCUUCAUCCUACGCCUCCCACGGAUUGAUAAACCUUAGGUCAUCCACUUGAGGGAAAUUUGCUACUGUCCUACAAACCUGUGCACUUGCAGGCCCAACAACGUCUACAAGAAGAAGGUUGUGUAGUAGAAUCAAGCUCUUUUCUGGCGUCAUUGCCGGGGAGGCUAGGUAAGUGAAGGUAUAUCUUUAGAUCUUGCAAUUGAAUCUUUUUGUUUCUUGUUUUAGCACUAGUCUAGUUUAUAAAAGAAAACUACAAAAAAAUGGAGUUGAGUUUGUCUCAUACGCUUCAUCUUUUUAAUAUCUUUCGUGAGUAUGAUGGAAAGGAUAAUUGUGCUCAAGUGAUAGAAGAAGAAAUCUAUAGAAUGUUUGGAACUAAAUAUGUGAAUGAUGAGCAUGAUUGCAAUGUUGCUAGUAUGAAUUCCUUCGAUAUCCAUGAUGCUAAUGAUAUGCAAAGCCACAAGCUUGGGGAAGCUAUGUUUGAUGAAGAUGAUAUUUUUUGUCCCCCAAGCUUUGAUGAGCAAAUUUACUAUGAUGAAAGCAUGCCUCCUAUCUAUGAUGAUUAUUGUGAUGACACGUAUGAUUUAAAGAAUAAUGAUAACCAUGAAACGUGUCAUCUUGAUCUUAAUUUUCAACCACAUGAUAGUUAUUUUGUUGAGUUUGCUCCCACUACUAUUCAUGAGAAGAAAUUUGCUUAUGUUGAGAGUAGUAAAUUUUCUAUGCUUGUAGAUCAUGAAAAGAAUGCUUUAGGUGCUGGUUAUAUUGUUGAAUUCAUUCAUGAUGCUACUGAAAAUUAUUAUGAGAUAGGAACAUAUGCUUGUAGGAAUUGCGAUAAUAUCAAGUUUCCUCUCUAUAUGCUUAAAUUCUUAAAUCUAUGCUUGUGUUACCUUCCUAUGCUAGUUGAUUAUUGUUCUCAUAAGUUGUUUGCUCACAAAAUCCCUAUGCAUAGGAAGUGGGUUAGACUUAAAUGUGCUAGUCAUAUGCUUCAUGAUGCUCCCAUUAUGUUUCAAUUCUUAUCUUUUAUGUGAGCAUCAUUGUCAUCAUCAUGCCUAGCUAAAAGGCAUUAAAGAAACGCGCUUGUUGGGAGACAACCCAAUAUUUAUCCUUACUGUUUUUGUGUGUCCACAUGAUUAUGCUACUGUAGUAAUCAUGUUUUAUAGCUUUUGUUUCAAUAAAGUGCCAAGUAGAACCUUUGGGAAGACCUGGGUGAAGUUUAUGUGAUCUUGCUGUGAAAAACAGAAACUUUAGCGCUCACAAGAUUAGCUGCCAUUUGUUACUGGAGAGUUCUUUUAGGUUGAUUCUUUUUGCAGAUGAUUAAUAGACAAAUUUCUCAGGUUGAGCAAUUUAUUUCAUAAUUUUUGGGGUUCCAUAAGUAUACUUUUAUAUAGAUUACUACAGACUGUUCUGUUUUUGACAGAUUCUGUUUUCUAUGUGUUGUUUGCUUAUUUUGAUGAAUCUAUGAGUAGUAUCGGAGGGUAUGAACCAUAGAUAAGUUGGAGUAAAGUAGAUAUUACACCAAUAUGAAUUUAUAAUGAGUUCAUUACAUUACCUAAGUGGUGGUUUUAUUUUCUUAUACUAACGGAGCUCACGAGUUUUCUGUUAAGUUUUGUGUUGUGAAGUUUUCAAGUUUUGGGUAAAGAUUCAAUGGACUAUGGAAUAAGGAGUGGCAAGAGCCUAAGCUUGGGGAUGCCCAAGGCACCCCAAGGUAAUAUUCAAGGACAACCAAGAGCCUAAGCUUGGGGAUGCCCCGGAAGGCAUCCCCUCUUUCUUCUUCGUUCAUCGGUAACUUUACUUGGAGCUAUAUUUUUAUUCACCACAUGAUAUGUGUUUUGCUUGGAGCAUCAAUUUAUUUUGUUAGUUUUUGCUUGUUGUUAUUCAGAUUAGCGUUUUGCAUCUUUAGUUUCAAUACAAAAGUCAAGGAUAGCCUUUGCCAUGCUUAUUUUGCUAGUUUGCAUGUUGCUGUUUGAAAACAGAAAGUUUACCGCUGUUGCAAAAAUUCCCUAGAAAAUUGAGAGCAUGGUCUAACGUUGAAUCUUUUUGAAUAUUGAGCUAUGAUAAAUUUAUUAUAGUGGGAAUUUUAGUUCAUAAUUUUUGGAGUCAGGGAAGUAUUGAUACUCUUGCAUUCUUUACAGACUGCACUGUUUUGGCAGAUUGCUGUUAUGGUUGCAUUGUUUGCGUAUGUUUGCUUGUUUAAUGAUUCUAUUUGAAGAUAGGAGUAUUAAAUAUGCAGAGCCAUUUAGUAUGAAAUGUUGAAUAAUAAUUUAAGUGAUUUUCUACAGUAUAAUAUGAUAAGGUUUUGCAUUGGUUUAUACUAACCUAUCUCACGAGUUCUUGUUGAGUUUGUUGUGAAUGAAGCUUUUGAUAAAAAGAGAAACCAUGAUAUGAGAGGAAUUAAGGAGACACAAAAGCUCAAGCUUGGGGAUGCCCAAGGCACCCCAAGAUAAUAUUUCAAGAAGUCUCAAGCAUCUAAGCUUGGGGAUGCCCCGGUAGGCAUCCACCUUUCUUCUUCAACAACUAUCGGUUAGUAUCGGUUGAGCCUAAGUUUUUGCUUCUUCACAUGAGUUGUGCUAUCCUUGCAAUGUAGUUUUCUUUACCUUUGCUUGCUAUUUGAAUAAGUAUCAAGAUCUGAAAUUAUUAAAUCGGAGAGUCUUUGCAUAGUUGCAUAAUUAUUUAGGUACUCAUUGACCUUCACUUAUAUCUUUCGGAGUAGUUUGUCAUUUGCUCUAGUGCUUCACUUAUAUCUUUUAGAGCAUGUUGGUGGAUUUGUUUUAAAUAAAAUAUUGAUCUCUCAUGCUUCACUUAGAUUAUUUUGAGAGUCUUAAAUAGCAUGGUAAUUUGCUUGAUAUUAAUAUACUUGGUAUUCAAGAUAUGUGAAACUUUCUUUUGAGUGAAUUGAAUACUAAGAUAAAUUUGAUGCUUGAUAAUUGUUUUGAGAUAUGGAGGUGAUAAUAUCAAAGUUGUGCUAGUUGGGUAAUUGUGAAUUUGAGAAAUGCUUGUGUUGAAGUUUGCAAGUCCCGUAGCAUGCACGUAUGGUUAAAGUUGUGUAACAAAUUUGAAACAUGAAGUGUACUUGGCUUGUGCAUCCUUAUGAGUGGCGGUCGGGGACGAGCGAUGGUCUUUUCCUACCAAUCUAUCCCCCUAGGAGCAUGCGCGUAGUACUUGAUUUUUGAUGACUUAUAAAUUUUUGGAAUAAGUAUAUGAGUUAUUUUGACUAAUGUUGAGUCCAUGGAUUAUACACACUUUUACCUUUCUGCCACUGCUAGCCUCUUCGGUACCGUGCAUUGCCCUUUCUCACCUUGAGAGUCGGUGCAAACUUCGUUGGUGCAUCCAAACCCCGUGAUACGAUACACUCUAUCACCCAUAAACCUCCUUAUAUCUUCCUCAAAACAGCCACCAUACCUACCUAUUAUGGCAUUUCCAUAGCCAUUCCGAGAUAUAUUGCCAUGCAACUUCCAUCAUCAUCAUCAUGACAUACAUUACUUUUGUCAUAUUGCCAUUGCAUUAUCAUGUAGUUGACAUCGUAUUUGUGGCAAAGCCACCAUGCAUUAUUUUUCAUACAUAUCACUCUUGAUUCAUUGCACCAUCCUGGUACACCGCCGGAGGCAUUCAUAUAGAGUCAUAUCUUGUUCUAAGUUUCGAGUUGUAAUCCUUGCUGUUGUAAUUAAUAGAAGUGUGAUGAUCAUCAUUAUUAGAGCAUUGCCCAAAAAAAAGAGAAAGGCCAAAAAAAGGCCCAAAAAAAGAAAAGAAAAGAAAAGAAAAGGACAAUGCUACUAUCUCUUUUUCCACACUUGUGCUUCAAAGUAGCACCUUAUUCCUCAUGUAGUGAGUCUCAUAUAUUGUGCUUCAAAGUAGCACCUUACUCUUCAUGUAGUGAGUCUCAUAAGUUGUCUUUUUAUACUAGUGGGAAUUUUUCAUUAUAGAUCUUGGCUUGUAUAUUCCUACGAUGGGCUUCCUCAAAUGCCCUAGGUCUUCAUGAGCAAGCAAGUUGGAUGCACACCCACUAGUUUUCUUUUGUUGAGCAUUCAUAGCUCUAGUGCAUCCGUUGCAUGGCAAUCCCUACUCCUCAUGUUGACAUAAAUUGAUGGGCAUCUCCAUAGCCCAUUGAUUAGCCUUGUCAACGUGAGACUUUCUCCUUUUUGUCUUCUCCACACAAUCCCCAUCAUCAUAUUCUACUCCACCCAUAGUGCUAUAUCCAUGGCUCACGCUCAUGUAUUGCGUGAAGGUUGAAAAAGUUUGAGAUUAUUUGAGUAUGAAACAAUUGCUUGGCUUGUCAUCGGGGGUAUAGAAGUUGGGAACAUCUUUGUGUGACGAAAAUGAAGCAUAGUCUAACUAUAUGAUUUUGUAGGGAUGAACUUUCUUUUGCCAUGUUAUUUUGAGAAGACAUGAUUGCUUUGAUUAGUAUGCUUGAAGUAUUAUUAUUUUUGCAUCAAUAUGAACUUUUGUCUUGAAUCUUUCGGAUCUGAAUAUUCAUAUCACAAUUAAGAAGAUUUACAUUGAAAUUAUGCCAAAGUAUCACUCCGCAUCAAAAAUUCUUUUUUAUCAUUUACCUACUCAAGGACGAGCAGGAAUUAAGCUUGGGGAUUCUUGAUACGUCUCCAACGUAUCUAUAAUUUUUGAUUACUCCAUGCUACUUUAUCUACUGUUUUAGGCAAUAUUGGGCUUUAUUAUCCACUUUUAUAUUAUUUUUGGGACUAACCUAUUAACCGGAGGCCCAGCCCAGAUUUGCUGUUUUAUGCCUAUUUCAGUGUUUCGAGGAAAAGGAAUAUCAGACGGAGUCAAAACGGAACGAAAUCAACUGGAGAAGUUAUUUUUGGAAGGAAAGCAACCUCAUAGACUUGGAGUGCAUGUCAGGGGAGUCCCGGGCUGCCCACGAGGGUGGGGGGCGCGCCCACCCCCCUGGGCGCGCCCCCUACCUCGUGAGCACCCCGGAGGUCCACCGAUGUACCCCCUGCACCCAUAUAUACCUACGUACCCUAAAACUUCCAGAACAAAAAAUAGAUCGGGAGUUCUGCCGCCGCAAGCCUCUAUAGCCACCAAAAACCAAUCAGGACCCUGUUCCGGCACCCUGCCGGAGGGGGAUCCCAUCACCGGAGGCCAUCUUCAUCAUCCCGGUGCUAUCCAUGACGAGGAGGGAGUAGUUCACCCUCGGGGCUGAGGGUAUGUACCAGUAGCUAUGUGUUUGAUCUCUCUCUCUCUCGUGUUCUCUCUCGUGUUCCUCUAUGGCAUGAUCUUGAUAUAUCCCGAGCUUUGCUAUUGUAGUUGGAUCUUAUGAUGUUUCUCCCCUCUACUCUGUUGUGAGGAAUUGAGGUUCCCCUUUGAAGUUAUCUUAUUAGAUUGAGUCUUUAAUGAACACUUGAUGUAUGUCUUGUCGUGAUUAUCUGUGGUGACAAUGGGAUAUCAUGUGCCACUUGAUGUAUGUUUUGGUGAUCAACUUGCGGGUUUCGUGACACUUGGGAACCUAUGCAUAGGGGUUGGCACACGUUCUUGACUCUCCGGUAGUAGCUUUGGGGCGCUCUUUGAAGUACUUUUAUGUUGGUUGGAUGAAUCUGAGAUUGUGUGAUGCAUAUCGUAUAAUCAUGCCCACAGAUACUUGAGGUGACAAUGGAGUAUCUAGGUGACAUUAGGGUUUUGGUUGAUUUGUGUCUUAAGGUGUUAUUCUAGUACAAACUCUUUUAUAGAUCGAUCCGAAAGAAUAACUUUGUGGUCGUUUCGUACCCGACCAUAAUCUCUACGUUUGUUCUCUGCUAUUAGUGUCUUUGGAGUGAGUCUUUGUUGCAUGUUGAGGGCUUGUCAUAUGUUCUAUCUAUGUUAUUAUUGUUGAGAGAACUUGCACUAGUGAAAGUAUGAACCCUAGGCCUUGUUUCCUAUCAUUGCAAUACCGUUUACGCUCACUUUUACCACUUGUUACCUUGCUGUUUUUAUAUUUUCAGAUUACACAAACCUAUAUCUACUAUCUAUUUUGCACUUGUAUCUUCAUCUCUUCGCCGAACUAGUGCCCCUAUACAAUUUACCAUUGUAUUGGGUGUGUUGGGGACACAAGAGACUCUUUGUUAUUUGGUUGCAGGGUUGUUUGAGAGAGACCAUCUUCAUCCUACGCCUCCCAUGGAUUGAUAAACCUUAGGUCAUUCACUUGAGGGAAAUUUCCAACUGUCCUACAAACCUGUGCACUUGCAGGCCCAACAACGUCUACAAGAAGAAGGUUGUGUAGUAGACAUCAAUUAUCAGUUUGGUUUGGCCUACUAGUUGAUCUUUCUUGCAUGGGAGAAGUGCUUAGCUUUGGGUUCAAUCUUGCGGUGUCCUUACCCAGUGACAGAAAAGGUUGCAAGGCACGUAUUGUAUUGUUGCCAUCAAGGAUAAAAAGAUGGGGUUUAUAUCAUAUUGCUUGAGUUUAUCCCUCUACUUCAUGUCAUCUUUCUUAAUGCGUUACUCUGUUCUUAUGAACUUAAUACUCUAGAUGCAUGCUGGAUAGCGGUUGAUGUGUGGAGUAAUAGUAGUAGAUGCAGGCAGGAGUCAGUCUACUUGUCACGGACGUGAUGCCUAUAUACAUGAUCAUCCCUAGAUAAUCUCAUAAUUAUUCGCUUUUCUAUCAAUUGCUCGACAAUAAUUUGUUCACCCACCGUAAUACUUAUGCUAUCUUGAGAGAAGCCACUAGUGAAAUCUAUGGCCCUUGGGUCUAUCUUUUAUCAUAUAAGCUUUCAAUCUACUUUUAUUUGCAUAUUUACUUUUUGCAUCUAUAUUAUAAAAUACCAAAAAAAUAUUUAUUUUAUCAUACUAUCUCUAUCAUAUCUCACUUUCGCAAGUGGCCGUGAAGGGAUUGACAACCCCUUUAUUGCGUUGGUUGCGAGUUCUUUGUUUGUUUGUGUAGGUGUGUGGGACUUUUGAGGAGCCUCCUACUGGAUUGAUACCUUGGUUCUCAAAAACUAAGGGAAAGACUUACUCUACUUUGCUGCAUCACCCUUUCCUCUUCAAGGAAAACCAACGCAAGCUCAAGACGUAGCAAGAAGGAUUUCUGGCGCCGUUGCCGGGGAGGUCUUCGCUCAAGUCAAGACAUACCAAGUACGCAUCACAAACUCAUCUCCCUCGCAUUUAUAUUAUUUGCCAUUUGCCUCUCGUUUUCCUCUCUCCCACUUCACCCUUGCCAUUUUAUUUGGGGAAAUUUUUGUUUUUGCCACUCUAGAUUUUGCCAAUUUUCCUUAUGCCACUCUAGAUUUUGACAUUUCACUUUUGCCACUCUUUGUUUUUGACAAUUAUCACAAUUGCCAUUUUGUGGCAAAAGAAAAAUAAUUUUAUUUCAUUUUUGCCACUCUUAGCUUUUGAUAAUUAUCACAAUUGCCACUCUAAAAAUUUUGCUUUUGCCACGGGAAUGGCAAUUGUGAUAAUUGUCAAAAAUUAAGAGUGGCAAAAGUGAAAUGUCAAAAUAUAGAGUGGCAUAAGGAAAAUUGGCAAAAUCUAGAGUGGCAAAAACAAAAUUUUCCCUUUUAUUUGCCCUCUCUUUCCCAAUCUUCUCCUCUCUUUCGCUUGCAUUUUUCUGUUUGCUUGUGUGUCGGAUUACUUAUUGCCAUGGCGCAAGAUAAUACCAAAUUGUGUGAUUUCUCCAAUACCAAUUAUAAUGAUUUCCUUAGUACUCCGAUUGCUCCUCUUAAUGAUGUUGAGUCUUGUGAAAUCAAUACUGCUUUGUUGAAUCUUGUUAUGAAAGAUCAAUUCGCCGGCCUUCCUAGUGAAGAUGCCGCUACUCAUCUAAACAAUUUUGUUGAUUUGUGUGAUAUGCAAAAGAAGAAAGAUAUGGAUAAUGAUAUUGUUAAAUUGAAGUUAUUUCCGUUUUCACUUAGAGAUCGUGCUAAAGUUUGGUUUUCGUCUUUGCCUAAAAAUAGUAUUGAUUCUUGGAACAAGUGCAAAGAUGCUUUUAUCUCUAAGUAUUUUCCUCCCGCUAAGAUCAUCACUCUUAGGAACAAUAUUAUGAAUUUUAAACAACUAGAUCAUGAGCAUGUUGCCCAAUCUUGGGAAAGAAUGAAAUUGAUGAUUCGCAAUUGCCCUACUCAUGGUUUGAAUUUAUGGAUGAUCAUACAAAAUUUUUAUGCUGAUUUGAACUUUGCUUCUAGAAAUCUUUUAGAUUCAGCCGCGGGGGCACAUUUAUGGAAAUCAUGUUAGGAGAUGCUACAAAACUUCUUGAUAAUAUUAUGGCUAAUUAUUCUCAAUGGCACACCGAAAGAUCUACUAGUAAAAAAGUGCAUGCUAUAGAAGAAAUCAAUGUUUUGAGUGGAAAGAUGGAUGAACUUAUGAAGUUGUUUGCUACUAAAAAUACUCCCUUUUUCCCAAUUAUAUGCCUUUGUCUACUUUGAUUGAGAAUAAUAAUGAAUCUAUGGAUGUGAAUUUUGUUGGUAGGAAUAGUUUUGGAAACAAUGCUUAUAGAGGAAACUUCAAUUCUAGACCGUUCCCUAGUAAUUCCUCUAAUAAUUAUGGAAAUUCCUACAAUAAUUCUUAUGGUAAUUUCAAUAAGAUGACCUCUUAUUUUGAGAAUAGUGUGAAAUAAUUUAUGAUUUCUCAAAAGAAUUUUAAUGCUUUGCUUGAAGAAAAAUUGCUCAAAGUUGAUGAUUUGGCUAGGAACGUUGAUAGACUUUCGCUUGAUGUUGAUUCUCUUAAACUUAGAUCUUCUCCUCCUAAGCAUGAUAUCAGUGAGUCUCUCAAAGCCAUGAGAAUUUCCAUUGAUGAGUGCAAGGAAAGAACCGCUAGAUUGAAAGAUUGCUUUGUAAAGGCGUCUUCUUCUAGUUUCCAUGAAAAUAAUAAUGAAGAUCUUAAAGUUAUUGAUGUGUCUCCUAUUAGAUCUUUGUUUUGCAAUAUGAAUCUUGAUAAUAAUGGGACUGGAGAUGAGUCAACUUUAGUUAGAAGGCGUCCCAAUAAUUCAGAGUUUUUAGAUCUGGAUCCUAAAUUUGGUAAAAGUGGGAUUGGAGAGGUCAUGAAUUUAAAUAGAUUGAACCCACUAUCUUGGAUUUCAAGGAAUUUGAUUAUGAUAAUUGUUCUUUAGAAGGUUGUAUUUCCUUGUUGCAAUCCGUUGUUAAUUCUCCUCAUGCUUAUAGUCAAAAUAAAGCUUUUACCAAACAUAUCGUUGAUGCCUUGAUGCAAUCUCAUGAUGAAAAACUUAAUUUGGAAGUUUCUAUACCUAGAAAACUUAAUGAUGAGUGGGAACCUACUAUAAAGAUUAGAAUUAAAGAUCAUGAGUGUUUUGCUUUAUGUGAUUUGGGUGCUCGUGUUUCCAUGAUUCCGAAAACUUUAUGUGAUAUUCUAGGUUUCCAUGAUCUUGAUGAUUGCUCUUUAAAUUUGCACCUUGCAGAUUCCACCAUUAAAAAGCCAAUGGGAAGGAUCAAUGAUGUUCUCAUUGUUGCAAAUAGAAAUUUGGUGCCCGUAGAUUUUAUCGUUCUUGAUAUAGAUUGCAAUCUUUUUUGCCCUAUUAUUAUUGGUAGACCUUUCCUACGAUUGGUGCGAUUAUUGAUAUGAAGGAAGGGAAUAUUAGAUUCCAAUUUCCAUUAAAGAAAGGCAUGGAGCACUUUCCAAGAAAGAAAGUCAAGUUACCUUAUGAAUCAAUCAUGCGAGCUACUUAUGAAUUGAGUGCCAAAGAUGGCACUACUUAGAUCUAUCUUCGCUUUUAUGCCUAGCUAGGGGCGUUAAACGAUAGCGCUAGUUGGGAGGCAACCCAAUUUUAUUUGUGUUUUUUGUUUUUGUCCCUGUUUAGUAAUAAAUUUUGCAUCUACCUUAUGUUUAUAUGUGUUUUUAUCUUUUAAUUACUGUUUGUGCCAAGUAGAACCUAUAGGAUAACCUAUGAUGAUAGUUGAUUUGAUUCUGCUGAAAAACAGAAACUUUGUGCGCACGAAUUUAGUUUUGUUAAAUCACAGAAAAGUGCUUUUGUGUUGAUUCUUUUUGAUGCUGAUCAAUAGACAAAUUUUCCAGGACUUCCUAGUUUGGUAGGAUGUUUAGAGUUCCAGAAGUUUGUGUUAGUCACAUAUUGCUACAGACUGUUCUGUUUUUGACAGAUUCUGUUUUUCGUGUGUUGUUUGCUUAUUUUGAUGCAUCUAUGGCUAGUAAAAUAGUUUAUAAACCAUAGAGAAGUUGGAAUACAGGAGGUUUAACACCAAAAUAAAUAAAGAAUGAGUUCAUUAUAGUACCUUAUGUGGUGGUUUUGUUUUCUUUCACUAACGGAGCUUAUAAGAUUUCCUGUUGAGUUUUGUGUUGUGAAGUUUUCAAGUUUUGGGUAAAGCUUUGAUGGACUAUGGAAUAAGGAGUGGCAAGAGCCUAAGCUUGGGGAUGCACAAGGCACCCCAAGAUAUUCAAGAAUAGCCAAAAGCCUAAGCUUGGGGAUGCCCCGGGAAGGCAUCCCCUCUUUCGUCUUCGUUCAUUGGUAACUUUACUUGGAGCUAUAUUUUUAUUCGCCACAUGAUAUGUGUUUUGCAUGGAGCAUCGUGUAUUAUAUUAGUCUAUGCUUUUUAGUUUACCACAAUCAUCCUUGCUGUACACACCUUUUGGGAUAAGCCCACUUGAUUGAAUUUGCUAGAAUACUCUAUGUGCUUCACUUAUAUCUUUUGAGCUUGAUAGUUUUUGCUCUAGUGCUUCACUUAUAUCUUUUAGAGCACGGCGGUGGCUUAAUUUUGUAGAAAUUGCUAGUCUCUCAUGCUUCACUUAUAUUAUUUUGAGAGUCUUUUAGAACAGCAUGGUAUUUGCUAUGGUUAUAAAAUUGGUCCUAGAAUGGUAGGCAUCCAAGUUGGGUAUAAUAAAAACUAUCAUAGGAAGUGAAUUGGAUGCUAUGAUCAAUUUGAUACUUGAUAAUUGUUUUGAGAUAUGGAGGUAGUGAUCUUAAAAGUCAUGCUAGUUGGGUGAUUAUGAAUUUAAAGAAUGCUUGUGUUGAAGUUUUUGAUUCCCGUAGCAUGCGCGUAAUACUUUGUUUUUAUUUGUGAUGAAGUUGGGGCACAAUUUUAUUUGUUGAUUGUCUUCCUUAUGAGUGGCGGUCGGGGACGAGCGAUGGUCUUUUCCUACCAAUCUAUCCCCCAAGGAGCAUGCGCGUAAUACUUUGUUUUUGAUGACUUGUAGAUUUUUGCAAUAAGUAUAUGAGUUCUUUUGACUAAUUUUGAGUCCAUGGAUUAUACGCACUCUUACCCUUCCACCAUUGCUAGCCUCUCUUGUGUCGCACAACUCCCGCCGGUACCAUACACCCACCAUAUACCUUCCUCAAAACAGCCACCAUACCUACCUAUUAUGGCAUUUCCAUAGCCAUUCAGAGAUAUAUUGCCAUGCAACUUUCCACCGUUCCGUUUAUAUGACACGCAUCAUCAUUGUCAUAUUGCUCUUUGCAUGAUCAUGUAGUUGACAUCGUAUUUGUGGCAAGGCCACCUUCAUAAUUUUCAUACAUGUCACUCUUGAUUUAUUGCAUAUCCCGGUACACAGCUGGAGGCAUCCAUAUAGAGUCAUAUUUUGUUCUAGUCUUGAGUUGUAAAUCAAUAAAAGUGUGAUGAUCUUCAUUAUUAGAGCAUUGUCCCAGUGAGGAAAGGAUGAUGGAGACUAUGAUUCCCCCACAAGUCGGGAUGAGAGUUCGGACUUUACAAAAGAAGAAAAAAAGUGAAAGGCCAAAAAAAAGAAAGGCCAAAGAAAAAAAAGGAAGAAAGAAAGAAAAAAAAGAAUAAAAGAAAAAAAUGAGAGAAAAAGAGAGAAGGGACAAUGCUACUAUCCUUUUACCACACUUGUGCUUCAAAGUAGCACCAUGAUCUUCAUGAUAGAGAGUCUCCUAUGUUAUCACUUUCAUGUACUAGUGGGAAUUUUUCAUUAUAGAACUUGGCUUGUAUAUUCCAAUGAUGGGCUUCCUCAAAAUUCCCUAGGUCUUCGUGAGCAAGCGAGUUGGAUGCACACCCACUUAGUUUCUUUUGUUGAGCUUUCAUACAUUUAUAGCUCUAGUGCAUCCGUUGCAUGGCAAUCCCUACUCACUCACAUUGAUAUCUAUUAAUGGGCAUCUCCAUAGCCCGUUGAUAUGCCUAGUUGAUGUGAGACUAUCUUCUCCUUUUCUGUCUUCUCCACAACCACCAUUCUAUUCCACAUAUAGUGCUAUGUCCAUGGCUCACGCUCAUGUAUUGCGUGAAAGUUGAAAAAGUUUGAGAUUACUAAAGUAUGAAACAAUUGCUUGGCUUGUCAUCGGGGUUGUGCAUGAUUAAAUACUUUGUGUGAUGAAGAUAGAGCAACAGCCAGACUAUAUGAUUUUGUAGGGAUAACUUUCUUUAGCCAUGUUAUUUUGAGAAGACAUGAUUGCUUUGAUUAGCUUGCUUGAAGUAUUACUAUUUCUUAUGUCAAUAUUAACUUUUAUUUUGAAUCAUUUGGAUCUGAACAUUCAUGCCACAAUAAAGAAAAUUACAUUGAGAAUUAUGCUAGGUAGCAUUCCACAUCAAAAAUUCUGUUUUUAUCAUUUACCUACUCGAGGACGAGCAGGAAUAAUGCUUGGGGAUGCUUGAUACGUCUCCAAUGUAUCUAUAAUUCUUGAUUGUUCCAUGCUAUUAUAUUACCCUUUUUGGAUGUUUAUGGGCUUUAUUUUACAUAUUUAUAUCAUUUUGGGACUAACCUACUAACCAGAGGCCCAGCCCGUAUUGCUCUUUUUUUGCCUAUUUCAGUAUUUCGAAGAAAAGGAAUAUCAAACGGAGUCCAAAUGGAAUGAAACCUUCGGGAGCGUGAUUUUUGGAACAAACGUGAUCCGGAGAACUUGGAGUGCAAGUCAAGAAGCAAACGAGGCGGCCAGGAGAUAGGAGGGCUCGCCCACCCCUCCUGGGCGCACCCCCUGUCUCCUGGGCCCCACGAGCGGCCACCGACGUACUUCUUCCUCCUAUAUAUACCUACGUACCCCAAAAACAUCCAGAGAGCCAACGGAAAACAAUUUCCACUGCCGUAACCUUCUGUAUCCGCGAGAUCCCAUCUUGGAGCCUUCGUCGACGCUCCACCGGAGGGGGAAUCGACCACGGAGGGCUUCUACAUCAACACCAUAGCCUCUCCGAUGAGUUGUGAGUAGUUUACCACAGACCUUCGGGUCCAUAGUUAUUAGCUAGAUGGCUUCUUCUCUCUUUUUGGAUUUCAAUACAAUGUUCUCCCCCUCUCUUGUGGAGAUCUAUUCGAUGUAAACUCUUUUUGCGGUGUGUUUGUCGAGAUCCGAUGAAUUGUGGGUUUAUGAUCAAGUUUAUCUAUGAGAAAUAUUUGAAUCUUCUCUGAAUUCUUUUAUGUAUGAUUGAGUUAUCUUUGCAAGUCUCUUUGAAUUAUCAGUUUGGUUUGGCCUACUAGAUUGAUCUUUCUUGCCAUGGGAGAAGUGCUUAGCUUUGGGUUCAAUCUUGCGGUGUCCUUACCCAGUGACAGAAAGGGUUGCAAGGCACGUAUUGUAUUGUUGCCAUCAAGGAUAAAAUGAUGGGGUUUAUAUCAUAUUGCUUGAGUUUAUCCCUCUACAUUAUGUCAUCUUUCUUAAUGCGUUACUCUGUUCUUAUGAACUUAAUACUCUAGAUGCAUGCUGGAUAGUGGUCGAUGUGUGGAGUAAUAGUAGUAGAUGCAGGCCGGAGUCAGUCUAAUUGUCACGGACGUGAUGCCUAUAUACAUGAUCAUGCCUAGAUAAUCUCAUAAUUAUUCGCUUUUCUAUCAAUUUCUCGAUAGAAAUUUGUUCACCCACCAUAAUACUUAUGCUAUCUUGAGAGAAGCCACUAGUCAAACCUAUGGCCCCCGGGUCUAUCUUUUAUCAUAUAAGCUUUCAAUCUACUUUUAUUUGCAUCUUUACUUUUUGCAUCUAUAUUAUAAAGUACCAAAAAUAUAUUUAUCUUAUCAUACUAUCUCUAUCAGAUCUCACUUUCGCAAGUGGCCGUGAAGGGAUUGACAACCCCUUUAUUGCGUUGGUUGCGAGUUCUUUGUUUGUUUGUGUAGGUGCGUGGGACUUUUGAGGAGCCUCCUACUGGAUUGAUACCUUGGUUCUCAAAAACUAAGGGAAAUACUUACGCUACUUUGCUGCAUCACCCUUUCCUCUUCAAGGAAAACCAACGCAAGCUCAAGACAUAGCAUUACUCCACGUGAAUCUAUGACCAUGCAGGAACAACUCUUUUAGACCAUGAUCGUCCACAAAGCGCUUGAACAUUCCCAUCAUUCGACGAUCCAGUGCCGAAUUGUUUUUAUCUGCCGCGUAUAAGAUUAAGUUGAAGUCACCAAUUACCAACCACGGUCCAGGGCACAACAUCCUGCGCUCGAAAGCUCCUGUAGAAAGUUAACCUUUUGCUCGUCUUCUUGUGGCCCAUAGACCACCGAAAGCCACCAAGGGGUGCCUUCCUUAGGUGACACAAAACCCGUAAUGAAGUUUGUGUCAUUGACAAAAUUUGUCAAUAGGACCUUAUUGGAAUCCCAAACCACAAAGCUCCCACCUCUCGUAUCGGACACCGGCAGAUAAGUAAAGCCAUCAUAAUUAGGACCCAUACAUUGUAGGACUACAAAUUGAUCUACCAAGUCAAGCUUAGUUUCUAGAAUACAAAUGAUCGCCACUCGCACAGAAUCUACGAACUCUCUGAGCGACUUUAUUUUUGCUGGACUGUUGAGUCCACGCACAUUCCAGCACACCAACUCCAUCGCGUCGCACGACAUCAGGAAGUGAAGCUCCCAUGUCGCCCACCGGCUACCUAUUGGACCAUAACCGGCUCAGACUUCUCCAACUCAUCGCCAAGGUUGAGAGGGAUCGCCUUCCCGAAGAUGGCUGCAAUAGCUCUGAACUAUGGUUCCUGCAGUGGAGAAUCAAACACCAUCCUGAGCUGACCUAGCGCAUCUUCGGAGAUUGCCAGGUGUCGGUGUCAAAACCGGUGGAUCUCGGGUAGGGGGUCCCGAACUGUGCGUCUAGGCGGAUGGUAACAGGAGACAAGGGACAUGAUGUUUUUACCCAGGUUCGGGCCCUCUCGAUGGAGGUAAAACCCUACUCCUGCUUGAUUGAUAUUGAUGAUAUGGGUAGUACAAGAGUGGAUCUACCACGAGAUCAAGGAGGCUAAACCCUAGACGCUAGCCUAUGGUAUGAUUGUUGUAAUGGUUUUUCGUCCUACGGACUAAAACCCUCCGGUUUAUAUAGACACCGGAGAGGGCUAGGGUUACACAAUGUCGGUUACAAUGGUAGGAGAUCUACAUAUCCGUAUUGACAAGCUUGCCUUCCACGCCAAGGAAAGUCCCAUCCGGACACGGGACGAAGUCUUCAAUCUUGUAUCUUCAUAGUCUUGGAGUCCGGCCGAUGAUGAUAGUCCGGCUAUCCGGACACCCCCUAGUCUAGGACUCCCUCAGUAGCCCCUGAACCAGGCUUCAAUGACGAUGAGUCCGGCGGGCAUGUUGUCUUCGGCAUUGAAAUGCGGGUUCCUCCUCCGAAUAAUUCAUAGAAGAUUGUGAACACCAGGAUAGUGUCCGGCUCUGUAAAAUAAAUUCCACAUACCACUAUAGAGAGAAUAAUAUGUACACAAGCUCAAUCUGCUGAUGUAUUUUGUGGCGUGACGUCACACCACUACCAAGCCUUUACUUGAAUCGUUUUUAUUAUACCACCUCAGCGCGUUUAGCGAAGCGGUUUCCUUGGCACAUCUUGUCGAAGCAGAGAUCAUGUUCCCCUUAUUCCGGGAUUCCCAUCAAUACGGACGUGGGUAACCCAACCGCGCCAUUGAUCGUGGCGCUUGGGAUAUAAGCGAGUUUUACCAGGCCGGUGGGGACGUAUAGUCUUCGUACGCCCAUAUAUAAGGGGAUAAGGAUCCACCUUUUUUACCUACGCCUUCUUCCUCCUUUGCUUAUCCAUCUCCGCGCACUCGAGCUCUAGCGCACAAGUCCGCACAUCUCACCUCAACCUUCUCCAUCCAUGUCCGGAGUGGGAGGCAAGUGGAUGGCCUCCUCCAUUACGGAGGGGCACAUCGAGAAACUGCGCGGCGCCGGAUACCUGUCCGGCGACAUCGCGCACCGGCUGCCCGACGAGGGGCAACUCAUCCCCACCCCCAGGCCCCAUGAGAGGGUCGUAUUUCUUCCACACUUCCUCCGCGGACUGGGCUUCCCACUUCACCCCUUCGUCCGGGGGCUCAUGUACUACUACGGCCUGGACUUCCACGAUCUGGCGCCAAACUUCAUCCUCAACAUCUCGGCGUUUAUCGUCGUGUGCGAGGCCUUCCUCUGCAUCCAGCCCCACUUCGGCCUGUGGCUAAAGACCUUCAACGUCAAGCCGAAGGUGGUGAAGGGCGUCCAAGCGGAGUGCGGAGGCGCCAUGGUGGGUAAAAUGCCCAACGUCACUUGGCUUGAGGGUGCCUUCGUGGAAUCCAUCAAAGGGUGGCAAUCGGGGUGGUUCUACAUCACGGAGUUGCGCGACCCUAAAUGGGCGGCGGCCCCCGAGUUCAGAUCUGGUAUCCCCAUGCAGCUUACCUCCUGGAAAGAGAAGGGCUUGCUAUGGGGUAGUUCCGAGGAGCUGACCAGACUCCAGUCCUGUCUCCAGACCCUGGUGAACAAGAAGCUUAAACUUGUCAACGUGAUCCAGGUCAUGCUCGUCCACCGGAUUCUCCCCUGCUAGCAACAGGCCUUCAAUUUGUGGGAGUUUGAUCCGGCACAGCACCGGACCUUGAGCGGGCUCUUCGACACGACGUACGAAGCUGCCUGGAGGGUGCUGUUCAAGGGCGGAGAAGCCCCCGCAUCCGCAACUGAAGAUCGCGGAUUCAGCACACAACGCCCGGCCGGCGAGGUAAGCUAUGUUAUCCUUUACGGGAUACUCAUUUCUUUCAUAGUUUGACUCUAUGUGGGAUCUAAACUCCCAAUGCCUUUAACAGGACUGGCAGAAGACGUCCGGACAGGUUAACUGUCCGACUCCCCUUCCAGAAGACCCAGCGGACACCCGUUUGACGGGGCUGCUAGUCCCGGCACUCUACGUGGUGCCGGAGAGGAAGGCCAAGAAGAAGGCCACGGGAACCCGAAGGAGUUCCCGGCACCAGGUGGUAUCGGGCUCAUCGUCCGAUGACUCCGAGGUGGACUCCUCCCCCGAGGAGGAGGAGAAAGAUGCCUCUUCCCCAGCGGGGGGAGAGAAGAAGAGGAAGGCCUCCCCAACAAGGGUGGCCGAAGGGUCCAAGAAAGGACGGACCCUUCCCCCGGACUGCUCCGCCAACGCCGACAACGGCGACGAGGAGUGGCCCUCAAGGGCCAAGCCCCUGGCAAGAUCGUAAGUGUCCGGAUUCCUGGAUGAUUUAUAAUUUCUCUUUUUGCCAUGUGGUGUCCUUCUAAUACCGCAUACAACCUGUAGUCCGGCCAAGGACGAUCUUCCCGCUUCGUCGAGCGGGUCCUUGGCUACGUCGGAUAUGGAUUCCCUUCCGACCGCCUCCACCCCUCGUGAUGCUGAUGACACCGAGGUGGGGUCCCAGGAGGAGACCCGCCAGGAGGGGGAGGCUCCGGAGGUGCCACAGGGCAACCUCCCGGAAUUCGCACCAGACUCCGCGCCGGAACCUGCAGUGGUUCCGGAGUCCGGCAGGUGGCCCCUUCGUAAGAAGGGCAAGACUGUGACACCGGCAGCCUCCGUCCAACCGGAGUCGCCGGAUAACUUGUUGGAGGCGCUCAACAGCGCUUCCAUCGAGGAAGAACACCGCACUAUCAUGAGUGCGGUGAUUCAGAAGGUUCAACUCGCCAAGAGCGGGCUGACCGAAGCCCGCAGCAGCCUUCUAACAGGCUUUGAGGUAAGAAAUUUAAGAUAUGUAAUAUAAUACCACAUAGACAAUAGCCCCUGAUGCUCGGUUCGGUGUUCGGAAAGAAAAGCCGGACUGAGGAUCUAAAAAGAUAUACGCAGGAGUUCUAAAAAUUAUGUCAAUAUGGAUUGCAGGCUGCGUUGUUGACCUCUGUCGCGCUGACUGCGGAGGUUGAUGCUUUGAAGCAGAACCUCGAGCGGUCCGAGAAUGAGCUUGGCCUUGCCAAGAAGCAGCUCGAGGACAAGGAAGUUGAGUAACACUGUAUUAAAUUUGUACCUUACAGAAAAGGAUUUUGGUUGCAAGAGAAAUAACAGGGAUAACGUGCGUACUGCAGGAGCCACGAACGAGGUGGCGACCCUGAAGGAGGCCGUGUCCGCGGCCGAACAUAAUGCGGCCACGGAACGAGCUGAGCGAGAGAAGCAGGAGGCGCAGGUGGCGGAGGUGCAGCAAGAGCUCCAGGCUCUCGUGGAAAAGCAUGAGAGUUUGGAGCGUGACUCAAAGACUCGAGAGUCCGAGCUUGCAUCGGCUCUUGAGAGUGCCAAAGCUGCUAAGGCCGAAGUCCAUAAGGCCCUCCAGGAAAUUGAGGCAUUGAAGAAAAUAGCAGCGGGUAAGGCAUUUUUCAUGCAAAGCAAGCAUGUGAAUGUGAAUUACCUGUUACUUACCCGAAUUCGGAGCUCUCCAGGAGCGUUUGCAGAUCUGCCUCGCAGCGUGUCCGAUGCUGCCGCUUUCUACCGGGCCGAGGAGAGGAGCUCGACGGAGAAGGUCUUCUGGUCUUAGUAUGCUGAGGCCGGACAUCCGGUGCCCCUUAGCGACCAGCUGAAGCAGCUGGUCGAGCUCCACAAGGUAGCCGAACAGGCCAUCAAGGGCCUCAUAGUUCGGCUGUGGCCCAAGGAGGCCAUGCCUGGGAGCUACUUCGGCCUGGUGCGGCGGCUGGUGGAUGUGUGUCCCUAGGUGGAAGUCGUCAAGCAAUUCGCCUGCAUUGAAGGUGCCCGUCGGGCCCUUGCCCGUGCAAAAGUGCACUGGGGCAGGAUGGACGCCGAGGAGCUUCUGAUGGACGCGCCGCCGGCGGGCAAGGAGUAUCGCACGCCCGAAAUGUAUUAUAAGAGUGUCCUGAAGGGAGCCCGCAUGAUUGCGGAUGAGUGCUCCAAGGAUGUAAUAUUUGAGUAGAAUCGCAUUAUGUUAUCCUGUGCGCUGAAAACUGUGUUCAUAUGCGCUAAGCAACGCUUAUUAAUUUAAAAUAUUACCUUCUGUGCGGCCGUUUAUCAAAUCUGAGAGAUGGCAAGUCGUCGGCUUCAGCCCCCAUGCCACUAGUGCUGGGGUGUUCGUGAUAACUUGAGCACUCUUGCUCCCAUGUUUGGGUCCAUCUAUGGAGGCGCUCAACACAACGAACGAGGCAAUCGGACUUAUAAUGCUUGAACACUCUCACUUAGCCAUAUAAUUCUAUAAUUUUAAAUUUCGGCGAAGCCCCUAGUGUUCGGAAGACCGAGUUCGGGGCGCUAUCCACGCCUGGGCCGGACAAAGCCGGUUCCUCGCUCUAAGCGGCAUAAGUCUUUAGGGACUCGAAAAAACCUCUCGAACAACGACCAGCUCUCGCCUUAUCAUGACGGUCAGUUUUAGGUUUCUCCACUGAGGCGCUCGCCCAGCUCAACCGGGGCGCAAUCGCAGUGGUUCUCCCAGUGCUACCUUAGCCGAUAGAACGGAACGUAAGGUACCAAAACAUGGGAGCCGGGCAAACCCAACUAUUGACCCAAGACAUGAUUCGGAGCCGAUGCAUAUAAUGCUAUAAGUUCGGGGUGCCGCACUUGUGAAAGUGUUCGGACUUAUCACACCAUAAUGCGGAGAACUUAAGCCCUGGUGUAUUCGGCCAUACCAAAGUGUACGGAUGCAGGAUGUCAUAAAUGAACAUAUAUAUAAGAAAGAAAUGCAAUUAUAAGCAAAAAGUGAUGCAUUGUUUAUUCAAGGAAUUCUGCCAUGGAUGCAGAACGAUACAAAUAGUGCGGUAAGCAAGGGAUUGGACUAUUAAACAUGUCCCCCUCCAGGGGUAGGCUGCGGAAUGGUGUAUUAAACAGAUUUAAUGCUCGUAAUGGAGACCACCUGAGUGUUCGUUGUAGCCUUUCUCCUUCCCUGGCUGUUGCAUCGUGAGUUCGGCAGGUCCACUGCCGGACAGGGCCUCUGGUGAACAGAGUCCUGUGGGUAAAAAAGAAAAAAAGAAAAAGAGAGACACACAUGGGAGCCCCUGGUGUGGUUGAGCCGCACUCUGGGUCUGUCGUGGUCGUGCCCCUCCCCCUAUGCCCACGGUAGCUCCAGAGCGUAAUGAUGUACGCGAAGGACUGGUUUUGCAAUUAUGCAGGGGCUGGGGUUGGGGCCGCAUUGCUACGCGUGCUCGGAACGUGCCAGGUGGUCUUGUUGUAGGUUACUCCGGGCGCGUUUGGCCGUGUCCGGUCGCUUAACGGCCGGACUCGAAAAUUGCCUUAAGAGGCUGCUCUGAACUUCUGCCGCAAGAGCCGCUGUGUGUUCCUCCGUUCGGAGGGAGCGUUCAGUGUUUCCGUUGAUCGUGAUGACUCGUCGAGGGCCUGGCAUCUUGAGCUUAAGGUAUGCGUAAUGCGGCACCACGUUGAACUUUGCAAACGCGGUCCGUCCGAGCAGAGCAUGAUAGCCGCUGCGGAACGGGACUAUGUCGAAGAUUAACUCCUCGCUUCGGAAGUUAUCCGGGGAUCCGAAGACCACUUCCAGUGUAACCGAGCCUGUACAAUUGGCCUCUACACCUGGUAUGACGCCUUUGAAGGUCGUCUUUGUGGGUUUAAUCCUUGAGGGGUCUAUGCCCAUCUUGUGCACUGUAUCCUGAUAAAGCAGGUUCAGGCUGCUGCCGCCGUCCAUCAGGACUCUAGUGAGGUGAAAUCCAUCAACGAUUGGGUCUAAAACCAAUGCGGCGAAUCCGCCAUGGCGGAUACUGGUGGGGUGGUCCCUUCGAUCAAAAGUGAUCGGGCAGGAGGACCAUGGGUUGAACUUUGGGGCGACUGGCUCCAUCGCGUAUACGUCCCUGAGUGCACGCUUCCGCUCCUUCUUGGGUAUGUGAGUUGCGUAUAUCAUGUUCACCGUCCGCACUCGUGGGGGGAAACAUUUCUGUCCUCUGUUGUUCGGCGGCCGGGUCUCUUCCUCGUCAUCGCUAUGCAGCCCCUUGUCAUUGUUUUCGGCAAUUAACUUGCCUGCCUGCUUAAAUACCCAACAAUCUCUGUUGGUGUGAUUAGCUGGCUUUUCGGGGGUGCCGUGUAUCUGGCACGAGCGGUCGAGUAUUCGGUCCAAAUUGGACAGACCCGGAGUAGUUCUUUUGAAUGGCUUUUUCCGCUGACCGGGUUUGGAGCCUCUGAAUCCGACGUUGACUGCCGUAUCCUCAGUGUUAUCGCCGUUAACGCGGCAUUUGUUUUUGUUGCGACGCGACCUGCCAUUGCGGUCCUUGUUAUCCGGACUGCCAGAGUUUUUGCUGAGGUUGUUACUGCGGGCUAGCCAGCUGUCCUCUCCCGCGCAGAAGCGGGUCAUGAGUGAUGUGAGGGCUGCCAUGGAUUUCGGCUUUUCCUGUCCUAGGUGCCGGGCCAGCCACUCGUCGCGGAUGUUAUGUUUGAAGGCUGCGAGGGCCUCUGCAUCCGGACAGUUGACGAUUUGAUUUUUCUUUGUGUUAAGAACCAUGUCCAAAAUUGUUUGGCCGAUUCAUCUGGCUGCUGAAUUAUGUGGCUUAGGUCAUCGGCGUCUGGUGGUCGCACAUAUGUGCCCUGGAAGUUGUCAAGGAAUGCGGCUUCCAGGUCCUCCCAACACCCAAUUGACUCUGCUGGCAAGCUGUUAACCCAAUGCCGAGUUGGUCCUUUAAGCUUGAGUUUGAGAUAUUUGAUGGCGUGAAGAUCGUCACCGCGGGCCAUGUGGAUAUGAAGUAGAUAGUCUUUGAUCCAAACCGCGGGGUCUGUUGUGCCAUCGUAGGAUUCAAUGUUCACGGGUUUAAACCCUUCAGGGAUUUGAUGAUCCAUUACUUCAUCUGUGAAGCAUAGUGGGUGUGCGGCGCCUCUAUAUUGGGCUAUAUCACGACGUAGCUCGAGCGAGCUUUGUCUACUGUGUUCGGCCCGGCCGGAGUUGCUGUAUCCGGCGCGACGGUAGUCGUCGCACGUCGUGGGGCGCCCACGUGAUCCGUAGAUCGAUCUUGAUUGUCUUGCCUUGUCCUCCAAUAUGUCUCGCAAGUCCGGCGCAUUCCCCCGUGGCUUCGUACUUUUCGAGCGGUGCCGGGGUACGGUCCAGAUGGAGAGCCUAGAGGCCUCUCUGUCGCGGCCACGAGGUGGUCGGUCUGCCGUAUUGUGCGCUGGUGAUGAAGGUUUAUACUCCUCCUCCUCUAAUCGGGGGAGCAACUUGCGUUUUGGGUAGCUUUUGGAGGGGCGUUCGAGUUCAUACUCUUCGGACGCCAGGACUUCAGUCCAUCUGUCGGCUAAUAGGUCUUGAUCAGCUCGGAGCUGUUGCUGCUUUUUCUUUAGGCUGUUUGCCGUGGCCAUAAGCCUGCGUUUAAAACGCUCUUGUUCGACGGGAUCCUCGGGCACGACGAAUUCGUCGUCGUUGAGGCUUGCCUCGUCUCUGGAGGGAGGCAUAUAAUUAUCAUCCUCUACCUCUUCGUCUGCCGCUCUCUCGUGAGGGCUGGCUUCUCCGUCCUCCUGUGCUGAAUCUUGCUGGAGGGGGUUGUCUUCGGCACUCUCUACGGUGUUAUUAUCUCCGGUGCCAGAAUCUCCAUUCUUGCUGUGGCGGGAUUUAGAGCGGCGCCGCUGACGCCGGCGCUUGGGCUGUUUCUUGGAGGAAUCUGCCUCUGCUGCUUCUUCGCCAUUCCCAUCCUUUGGGGUGUCCACCAUGUAUAUGUCGUAUGACGAGGUGGUCUUCCAGUGCUCCGUAGGCACUGGUUCUUGGUCGUCUCCGGCAUCGUCGUCCAUACCGUUGAUGUCUUCGGAGUCGUAAUCUAGCAUGUCGGUUAGAUCGUUGACAGUGGCUACAAAGUGGGUGGUGGGUGGGCUUUGAAUUUCUUCGUCGUCCGCAUCCCAACUGUCCUGACCGCAGUCCGGCCAGGGCUCUCCUGAUAACGAGAGAUGCUUUAAAGAAUUCAGGAUGUCGCCAAAGGGUGAGUGCUGAAAGAUGUCCGCGGCGGUGAACUCCAUGAUCGGCGCCCAAUCGGAUUCGAUUGGUAGGGGCGCAGGAGGUUCGGCGUCCGGCGAGGAGUCCGGCACCUCGGAGUCACGAGCUUUACAAGGGACCAAGUCAGUAUUCGGCUCCAUCGUCGUAGAGGUUGCAGCUCCCGAGGCGGUGUCUAGCCACCCGUCCUCGAUCUGUGCGGUCGGCUCCGAAUUAAGGAUCGGAGCGGACUCAUGUGCGGCCUCCAGGGCACUGUCCGGCAGCAGAGCUAAAUCAUGCCCAUCAUGACAGUGCGGUGCUCUUGGCUGUGGCUCGAAUCCAUCGAAGAUCAAGUCUCCGCGGAUGUCAGCCGUGAAGUUUGGGCUUCCAAAUCCGACCUGAUGGCCAGGGGCGUAGCUUUCGAUCUGCUCCAGAUGGCCAAGCGAAUUGGCCCGCAGUGCAAAGCCGCCGAACACGAAGAUCUGUCCGGCGAGAAAAGUCUCACCCUGGACUGAGUCGUUAUGGAUGAUCGAAGGAGCCAUCAAGCCUAUCGGUGACGACACAGAGGAACUCUCAAUGAAAGCACCAAUGUCGGUGUCAAAACCGGUGGAUCUCGGGUAGGGGGUCCCGAACUGUGCGUCUAGGCGGAUGGUAACAGGAGACAAGGGACACGAUGUUUUUACCCAGGUUCGGGCCCUCUCGAUGGAGGUAAAACCGUACUCCUGCUUGAUUGAUAUUGAUGAUAUGGGUAGUACAAGAGUGGAUCUACCACGAGAUCAAGGAGGCUAAACCCUAGAAGCUAGCCUAUGGUAUGAUUGGUGUAAUGGUUGUUCGUCCUACGGACUAAAACCCUCCGGUUUAUAUAGACACCGGAGAGGGCUAGGGUUACACAAAGUCGGUUACAAUGGUAGGAGAUCUACAUAUCCGUAUUGCCAAGCUUGCCUUCCACGCCAAGGAAAGUCCCAUCCGGACACGGGACGGAGUCUUCAAUCUUGUAUCUUCAUAGUCUUGGAGUCCGGCCGAUGAUGAUAGCCCGGCUAUCCGGACACCCCCUAGUCCAGGACUCCCUCACCAGGUCUUCGCAGUCAAAUCCCAAGGUCUUGAGGAGAACAGUUUCAGCUGCCGACGCCCUGGACUUUCUAGGUCCAACAAUGCAAGUCGAGCGAGUCGCGCGCCAAGGUGUGAAAGGGUCUUGCCCAGCAUGAACCCCACUCAUCCCUUCGAAUUCUUUGAGCAGCGGCAGGGCAAGCUUCUUGAGUAGGCCGGCACAAAAAGUCUUAAUGUUGGACAGGGCAACUUGCUCUUUGGAUGUCAGGUUGGGCACCACCGGAAGCAAAGCUAGCUCAGACCUCUCCUCCGAGGGGGCAUCACGCGACGAGAGCUGCAUGGGCUGCAUGGCCUGCAUACCAGCCUCGGACGUGGUCAUAUCAGGGUCCAACCCGCUCGGCGUGGGAACUAAGCCAGAUACCUCCAAGAUCGGUCCAUCAUUAUUCCCAUUGGUCGCAUGCAGCAGAAUCUCCGACACUGGAGCCCAUGCUUCGGGAUUGGCCAAUGGCACCACUGGACACACAGCAUCCAUCGAAGCAACCUUGGGGGCGUGGGGGGGAGAAGGUCAGUGGGCCCCAGGGACUCUCCAACGAGCAAAACCAGACUGGCCCCGCUGUCAUGCCUAACAGCAGCAUCAGGCUCCGCUGAUGGGACAGGGAUGGUUUGAAAUGCCAGCUCCACAUUGGGCGGAUCAGCCGGGCCAGACCGCGGAGCAAUCUCCACCACACAGACCUAGUCAAAAGCGGUCUCCCGAAGAACAGCCUGAGGCGGCAGAACAGCAGUCGCUUGCGCAGGGCCUGGCGUCACCACUGGCCCUGGCCCCAACGGCCCCACCUGCAGAAUGGGAUCUUCUGCAUCCUCCUGAACCACCACCGGCGCCACCACUGGCGCCACCACAGAGCGCACGUGAACAUCCCUGCCGAUAUGGACCGGAGCAGGGGGCACCAACGGAGAACGAGACGUCACCGCUCCGCCAUGCUCCAUAGGCGGCAGCCACCAGGACGAGGGCCCGAUGCCUCCUAGGAGAGCCUGCCGGUAGGUGCCACCCAUCCCACGUGGCAGGUGCACACCUCCGCGGUGAUCACGGACACCCAUAGUCCAAGGCAAGACUCACCAUUCUCCCACGCCAGAGAAGUCGCCAGAGUCCUCGGGCAGACCACUCUGACCGCUGCCGUCCGAGCUGGGCGUCCGCAGCCAAGACUCCAUGCCAUCAUGCUCCCUAAUCCUCCCAAUAUGAAUCAAGGUCUUGUAUUCGAACAACUGUCUGGACGUGGGCUGGCGCGCGGCCGGAUCAAAUGCCGCCUCUGGCUCCGGCACCCAAAGCAGCUUGUCCACAGGCACCGAGUCUGGAUCGACACACCAAGCACGAACUUUGAACAGGGAGAGGUCUUCUCUGCUUGCGGUCUCAGGAGCCAAACUCUCAACAAGGCAGGAGGAACCAAGCAACUCCGUCGCUGUCUCUCUGGUCCAAACGUGAGAUGGCACUACAUCAAUCAUCAGGUCAACUUGCGAGUGCAUGAGUCUGGAAACUGCCUAGGCUUGCCGCAACCAUGGUUUGACGAAGAGCUUGAAGCGCCUUGUUGCGGAAUUCAGUCCUCACAAACAGCACAAGAAAGUCUUCAGGGUGGAACUUGUGGACUGAGAAGAAGUGGCGGGGAAUACGCAGCUGGACAGAGAUGGCUUCGGUGGCAUCCUGGCAAGACACCAGAGGGCGAGGACCUCCGACAUAUGCCACCACCGCCAGCUGCAGGCGACGCUCCAGGUCAUCAAUCUCCGGGGUCCGCAGGAGGAUGCAAGAGGCACCAGAGUUGCUCGCCACUGCCAGCCCAAAAUCCACAGGUGUGGUGUCGCCUGGCACUAACGAGGGCCCCUCCUGGGGAGAGGCCUGCCGAGUGGCCGGAGACAGCCUGCUCGCGAUUCCGGCUGGCACCAGUGGCAGAGCGAUCUGUGCCACCUUAGACAUCACCACCCGCCGGAGAUCCUCCUCCGAUCUGGGACUCCAAGGCCGCUUGCACUCCGAGGAGAUGUGCCCCUCAAGGCCACAGCGGAUGCACAGCGGCAGAAAGGUGCAGUCAUCCCGGCGGUGGCCCUCCCGAAAGCACUUGAAGUGUUGGCGCCGCCGCUCCUCGAAACGCCGCUUCUUCUUCCUCACACAACUCUCUCUUCCUCUUGAUUCUCUCAAGAACACACACCAUGGAAGAAACCGAGAAAAACACACGCACACACACACCAGGGAAGGAAGCCAACUAGCUUUGCCAAGAGGCUCUCCUCCUGGGUCACACAAGUGCUACAUCUUUUCUGCCAGCCCUCACGGCUCAACUCCGUCGAUUAGUACAAGGGGUUUUAUACCCAUUAUAGCACAGGCGCACGCACACCACUAGCAUCGACCCACUAACCAACUAGACGCUAACUACAUGCAACUAAUUCCUACAUGCACGUCCAGCCCUUAUCCACUCAACGGAUCACAACUAACUAGAUGCCCCACGUCUACCGGUCGUGUGGUUCUCCACAACAGCACAGCCACACGUUUGCUAACGCACGUGCUAAGUCAAGAUUAUGGCUAACAUGAAGCACAAACCAAAAAGGUCUGGCAGAAUCUCCCUGCGCUCCAGCGACGAAGAUGGAGAGCACGGCCUUGACGAUGAAGAUGGAGCGCCUUGCGAGAAGGGCCUGGCCUCCUCUAGGGCACCGCCGCGCCAAUCGCUGCGGGCGGGGCGGGGACGAGGGGGGCGCCGAUGGCCCCGGUCGAAGAUGCAGAGCCCGACGAGGCGGAGAGCCCCAAGCCCGAGACCACCAGACGCAGCCUCGAAGACACCGAACCCGGGCUCGCAGAUCCAGAGGCCAUGGGGGGAACGGGGAAGCGCCACGGAGGGAGGUGGACGCCGGGGACCGGGGUGGUCACCGGUGGGGAGAGGGGAGGUGGACGUCGGGGCCGGAGUGGCCACCAGCAGGGGAGAGGGGCGCUAGAGGGGGAGCCAGGAGAGAAUACUGGAGAUGGAUUGUGUACUCUCAACACGAUUUUAUAGUACGAUUACUUCAUAUUUAUUAUUUUUGUAUGGUUAUUUAGGAGCCUUGUAUAAGCUAAACGUGCAGAGUUUAGCAAACCAAACAGUGUUAUUAGGUUGACACUAUAUAUGCUUAAGCAAGGCAAGCUAUGCAGCUGGCUGUUGCUUUCAGAGGUAGAAAAUGAGUUUUUAACCUCUCCAUUAUCUGAAGAGGAAGUUCGAGCCGCGGUGUUUCAAAUGGAACACAACAAGGCUCCGGGACCAGAUGGUUUUCCGACAGAGUUUUAUCAAUGUUUUUGGGAUAUGAUUAAGGCGGAUUUGGUUCAGUUGUUUAACCAACUGCAUGCUGAAAACCUUGAUAUUGCCCGUUUAAACUUUGGGGAAAUUAUUCUUCUGCCCAAGACUAAGGAGGCUAGUCGUAUUCAACAAUAUAGACCGAUUUGCCUUCUAAAUGUCAGCUUUAAGAUAUUCAUAAAGGUGGCAACUAAUAGGUUGAACGGGGUGGCUGACCACGUGGUCAAACCCACUCAAACAUCGUUUAUGCAAGGACGCAACAUACUAGAUGGAGUUGUUGUGCUACAUGAAACUGUGCAUGAGCUCCACCGUAAAAAGUUGAAUGGAGUCAUAUUCAAAAUAGACUUCGAAAAAGCAUAUGACAAAGUCAAAUGGCCCUUUCUUUUGCAAACUUUGCGCAUGAAGGGGUUUUCACCAAAAUGGUGUCGAUGGGUAGAGAGUUUUGUUUCUGGAGGUAGUGUGGCUAUCAAAGUCAACGAUGAUGUUGGCAACUACUUUCAGACUAGGAAGGGGCUUCGCCAAGGGGACCCUGCUUCCCCUAUUUUGUUCAACAUUGUAGUUGAUAUCUUAGCUAUCCUUGUUGAGCGGGCUAAGGUGGCCGGUCAAUUUAGCGGCGUGAUUCCUCAUCUGGUAGAAGAAGAACUGUCUAUUCUACAAUAUGCGGUUGACACUAUACUUUUUCUAGAUCAUGACCUAGAUAAAUCUAGAAACCUCAAAUUGCUUUUAUGUGCAUUUGAGGAGCUCUCUGGUCUCAAAAUUAACUUCCAUAAGAGCGAGCUUUUCUGCUUCGGCGAUGCUGCAGAGUCCGCAUCUGAGUAUGCUGAGAUUUUCGGCUGUCAGCUCGGCCAGUUCCCGAUCAGGUAUCUAGGUAUUCCUAUUCACUAUCGGCGUUUAACUAUCGCUGAGUGGAAGCAAGUGGAAGAAAGACUUGAGAAACACCUAGCCAGCUGGAAGGCCAAACUCUUGUCGUAUGGGGGACGGAUGAUUCUGAUUAAUUCCGUCCUCAGCAACAUGGUUCUAUACAUGUUGUCAUUCUUCCACUUACCUAAAGGGGUUCUACAACGUCUCGAUUAUUUUAGAUCCAGAUUUUUUUGGCAGUGUGAUAAUGAAUCCAAGAAAUAUCGGCUGGCUAGGUGGAGUAUAUUAUGCCGACCUAAAAGUAAAGGGGGCCUUGGAAUUCAGGAUCUUGAGAUUAAAAACAUCGCUCUCUUGAGUAAAUGGGUAUACAAACUACUCACUGAGAAUGGAGUAUGGCAGGAAAUCAUUCGUAACAAGUACGUGGGGUCUAAAGCCAUUUCUCAAGUUCAUUGGAAACCCGGUGAUUCACAUUUUUGGAGUGGCGUGAUGAAGGCCAAGGAAUUCUUUUUUCAAUUUCGUACUUUCUCGGUUAGGGAUGGUUCUCAGGUUCGAUUCUCGAAAGACACCUGGCUGGGGGCCACUCCUCUUAUGGUGCAAUACCCUAGCUUGUAUAGGAUCGUCAGACAUAAAUUAGUCACGAUCAAACAAGUAUUGGGACAAGAAAACCCUGAUAUUUCUUUCCGUAGGGACCUUAUUGGGCCUAGUCUGGUGGCAUGGAAUGAAUUACUCAAUCGUCUGGAGGCCAUUCAGCUGUCAGGCAAACCAGACAAGUUCCGAUGGAAUUUGCAUCAAAAUGGUACCUUUUCAGUCAAAUCCUUGUAUGCUGCAAUGACCCACACUGAUGUACCGGUUGAUAACAAGAAAUAGUGGAAGCUCAAAAUUCCCCUAAGAGUGAAGAUAUUCCUUUGGUUUCUAAACAGAGGGGUCAUCUUAACUAGAGAUAACUUGGCACGACGCAACUGGCAAGGUAGCAAGACAUGUGUCUUUUGCCAACAUGACGAGUCCAUCAAACACUUUUUUUUUGAGUGUAAGUUUACUCGUGUAGUCUGGACCAUAGUUCAAAUAGCUUCAAAUCUAUAUCCCCAACAUAGUGCGCGUAACAUGUUCAGCAAUUGGUUGCGGGGUAUCGAUAAACAAUUUUCUGCACAUCUACUCGUGGGAGCGACUGCCUUAUAUUGGGCACUGUGGCUCACUAGAAAUGAUGUGAUUUUUAACAAUAAAUGUGUUUCAUCUCCUGUGCAGGUUAUCCAUGCAUGUACACGAUGGCUCCGUACGUGGUCUAUCCUGCAGAGGCCGGAGGACAGAGACCUUUUUAUGAUGGCGUCUACACAGCUGGAGCAUACAGCCAGGGAGGUUUUCUCCCAACAUGGAUGGCGGUGUAAUCUCCGGAUAGGCAUUGCCCCAUCCUAGGCUGGACUGAUUUACUUUUGCUGUAAAACGAUAUUUAUUUUUAGGCUUGUUGGACAUGUUGGCUGUGUGCAUCACGCUAUGCAAAGGCCGGGCAUUCUUCAAUGCGAUUGUAUCACCUCGAUAUAUCAAUUGAAUGAAAUGUUUUUUAUCGAAAAAAAAUGUGAGUCCACCAAACGGUAGGAAUUCAUUGGAAAAGUAGUCCAACUUUGAAAAGCAAAUCACUCGUACCCGACGUAGCCGAGCAGAUCAAAGGUUAGCACCACCCAUGUCGCCCUAAUCGUAUAUCAAGCAGCACCAAUCGUAAAGCUGUGGCCUCCAGAUCUUUCUGGAAGGCUCAAGACCCCAACCGAUCUGUCCAGAACCUUCUAAACCCGUUUCCCAUCCCCUCCCCCAAGAAAUCUCCCCCGCUCCCCACUUACAAAACCCCCUCCAUUUCGCAUCCCGUCUCGCUCACCACAAGAAUCCAAAAUCACAGCAGAAGAGAGAGAGAGAGAAAGAGGAGAGAGAGAAGAGAGAGACCAUGGCCUCCGCCGUCGUUUGCAAGGGCGAGGGUGCCGCGCCGGCGGCCAGCCUCCUCAAGUCCGCUGCUCCCGUGGCCUUCGGCGCGGUCCACUCCCCCGCCGUCGCCGCCGCCCGCCGCCCGUACAACACCCGGGUCAAGGAGGUCAGCCGCUACGACGACGACGACGACGACUACAGCGGUUGCGACCUCGUCAUCCCCAGCUUCUUCUCGCAGGGUAUGCUUCCCUUCCCCACCUGUGGUGCACCGUUUCUUUGCCUUCGUUCUGAAGUAUCAACAUCGCAGCGUUCUGAUCUGCUUUUGGUGUCCUCGGUGUUGAUUCUGCAGACGUGCUCGACCCGCUCGGCGCGCCGACCAGCAUGGCCCGUCUGCUGUCUCUGAUGGAGGACGUCGCAACUCAGAACGGCAGCCUCUCCUCCACUGCUGGUGCUGGGGCGUCGCGGCUCUGACGCUGGGUGGCCAAGGAGGACGAUGACGCGGUGUACCUCAAGGUGCCGAUGCCGGGGCUGACCAAGGAGCACGUGAAGGUGCGCGUGGACAAGAACAUCCUGGUGAUCGAGGGCGAGGGCGAGAAGCAGCCCUGGGACGGCGACGACGACUCCGCGGUGCCAAGGUACAACCGCCGCAUCGAGAUGCCCGCCGACGCGUACAAGAUGGACAAGAUCAAGGCCGAGAUGCAGAAUGGCGUGCUCUGGGUCACCCUGCUCAAGGUCAAGGAGGAGGAGCGCAAGGACGUCUUCCACGUCAAGGUCGAGUAGGUAGUGCUCGUGGAGGAUGGCCGGCGCGAGAGUGUGAGAGACGCCUUGUUGAUGUGGUCAUGUUUGGUGUGUGUCUUCCUUGUUUUGCUUCGUUGAUCGUCUUGCAUCGAGUAGGUGAAGUUGGCCGCGAGUUUGGCAUAUGAUGAAGUUGCUUUGGUGGUGAAAUUGGUCAUGCAAUUCUGUUGAUUUCCUCAAAUUUGUGAACUGAUUUGGUGCUGAAAAUCGUCAUGAAACCUUGCUGAUCUCCUUAAGUUUGGCGUGCUGGACUAAAUUAGUGCUGAAAUCGAUCAUGUACUGUGUUGAUUGUCUGAAGUUUGGCUUGAUGAACGACCUUGAUUGUCUUAUGAACUUUGUCAUGAACUUUGUCAUUAACUUUAUUGAUUUAGUGGUGAAAUUUGUCAUGAACUUUGUUUAUUGUAUCAAGUUUGGCCUGAUGAACUAGUCUUAAGCCAGUCUGGCCUGUCUAUCUUUUCUCGUCCUUGAUCUGUAUUGCUUUAAGCUUUCUGCAAAAAGCUGUGCAUUCAUGCCAACUCUCUGAAAAUUUGACUGGUCUCCUCGAGUUUGACGUCAUGGAGUUGGUGAACUGGCAGUUACAGGUUGUGCUUAUCCUUGAAUUAUUUGUGCUGAAAUUUUUGCUGGUCUGAUCUCCUCGAAUUUUGUGUGCUUAUCCUUGAGUUUAACUUCGUGUAAAAACUGCAUCUGUUCCAGUUCGUAGUUAUAGGGUUCUUCCGUGGACUGUCACAUGAGAUAGGCGUUUGUUUCUUUAUGUCCUGCUUCGUUGAUCUUCUCAAGUUUAAUGUGACGAACUGAUUUGGUGGCUCCCUGAAUGUUUUGUGUUGAUCCUAUGUGUUUACUUCUUGAUAUUAUCAUAUAUACUUUGGUGGAGAAGUUGAUCCUGAACUCUGUCAAUUUUCCAAAAAUAAAAAAGUAUGGUUAACUAUUUUGCUGGUGAAAAUUCGUCAUUAAACUUUGUUGAUUCGUCAUUAAAUUAGCAAGUACACUACUAUUUUCAUGUGAGACCAACACUUGAAUGCACAAGUAACAAAAUGCAAAAAUGUGACUCCACUCAAAAUUAUGCACUUAAGUUAUGACCUUACUCCUAAUAUUUUAGUUUUGUAGUAACGCACGGGCAUUGUGCUAGUUUGUAUAAUUUCUUUGGGUUAAACUAACACUGGAAAUGACACUAAUCCACCCAGGAGCUUUUUAUUUUGAGCACACCAUCUUCUUUCAGUUUCUGGACCCAAUUCUGAGCUGUACAGCAAAUACCCUGUAUCAGUGGCGAAUCUAGCACGGAAAUGAAGGGUAGGCUCAAAGCAAAUUCCUAGGUCUAAUUAGCAAUGUAUUGCAAUUAUUGGAUGUAUAAAACACCUCGGCAUAAUUGGCAAGUUGUAUAUUUAGUUGAAAUAGGAUCUUUGGAGGGUAGGCUUCAGCCUAUUGAAGCCCCCCUAAUAGAAUCGCCACUGCCCUGUAUAUGGUUCCAAACUGUUUGAAAAUUGGUACACUUGUACACCUUAGUACGAUAACACCCCAAGGCAUCACCCACACACCGACCCUUACCUAGUUUGCUUUGUAGCUGCUGUCAAAGUUUGCUACAGCAAAGUGUUUGCGAUUGCAGAAUGCAAUUCAGUGCACCUGGAACACAGGGAGACAACUCCUAGCGCAUACUCUGCACACCUCACACACUAGAAACGGUGCUAAGCACCAACAAUGGGCCAGGGCUCUUGGCCGUCGUGAUCACGCCACUGGCAUGCAGAGAGCACGCUCUGCAUGCUAGCGCGCACCUGACCCAACGGCUUCGUCGCGUUCCGCGUCCCCGGCUCGCCAUCGCUCGCAGGACGCCACCCGCACGCCUCUGCAAACCCCCUCGACGCCCUACAACUAGCCCCGCUAGACUCGCCGGAAGACGCGGCGCCGCUCACGUAUGACGCGCCGCAGUCGUCGUCUUCCUGCACAGCCCGGACAGUCGCAGCCACGAGCUCGCAAGCACUCACACGGACCCGCCAAGUCCCCCAAUACGGCUUGGCAGAGUCCGGCGUGAUCACAACUGAUCUGAGCUUAUCCGCGGUGGUGCCAUGUCCGCAACACCCACACGGCGGGUAUAAAAGGCCCACACUUCACUCGCACCACCUCCUCCCUUCUCUCACACAUCACACAAGCCAUUGAGCACGCCCAGGAUGGCCUGCCGCCGCAGAAUCGAGCGAAACUCCGCCGCUUGGGCGCCCUCGCCUGCAAGGAUUUUCCUCGACCCCAACCACACCACCACCACCACUUAGGAUUGCCAUACCUCACAGACCAAAAGCCCCACGGAGCUUCCCCAAAUCUGCGACGCUUUGCUGGAGUUCGCCGGAGCCCGAAGACCGUCGCCACCGGAGAGGAAGGAAAUGAUGCUAUCACGACGUCUUCGGAGGAGCUACGAAUACGAGGAGGAUCGCCCACUUUGCGUCGUUCCAACGCACCCACCCCCGUGCUCCGCCGUGCCCUCUACGCCGAUGAAUGGCCACCGGUGAGCCACUGCUCCAAUGACCGUGCAAUUUUAAACAAAAACCUGACAGGUGGGGCCCACCUAUCGGCGACUCAUUUCCACCCCGAAGCGGCACGUAAGUGGAGGCGCAUUUCUGAAAUACGCCUUCAACGUGGACACCAUGGGGUUUUCUGUUUAAAUCGUUUUUGUUUUAUUUUAAUUGUUUUGUUGACCCAACUUUGACGAGUGAUAACUUUUAAAUUAUAGGACCUUUUUAUUUGAUUGUUUUUCUAAUUUUUAAUGAAAUUCUUUAUUUGUUGAUUAAAUUUGGGAUUUAUUUGACCUGUUUGGAAUUUAUGGGCAAAAUAUUUGACUUUAUGUGUUAUUUACAAAAGCAAUUUUAAAUUAUUUCCGGAAGGAAUUAAUACAUGACGUGAAGAUUAGGAGUUGUGUUGCAGUUCACUUGAGCAAAGCAAGCUACCACCUCCAUUUGCUUGAUGGCAUUGUAGGCCAUGGGUUAAAAUUUGUAAUUUCUUCAUUUUAUGGUAGUAACUAAAUUAAGUUUUAGAUUAUUUUUGUGCUAGAAUGUUUUCCAUGCUAGUGUCAUUUGUUUAGAUACACUAGUAGAAAAAGGGCCAUUCGCCGGUUCUUGAGGGCUAUUUGUCCCGGUUCCCGAACCGGGACUAAAGGGUCGUAACUAAAGCCCUCUACCUUUAGUCCCGGUUCGAUCGGGAACCGGGACAGAUAGGGCUCCACGUGGCUGGAGCGGCUUGCCCAUGCAGGGGGGCCUUUUGUCCCAGUUGGUGCCACCAACCGGGACCAAAAGGAUGGGUUUUUUUCUGAGGGGGGGGGGUUUGUAGGGUUAAUUUAGAGGUUUCAUAUAUUGUGUUAGCUAGCUAAUAGACAAGAGUGUCCUCUCUUAUCUCUGUGCUUGGUCGACGCUACGUAUAGAGAGGACUCGACACACUAGCUAGCUAGUAAGCAAAUGAAGGAAACCAUUAAAAUACAGAAGAGAUCUCUUACGUCCCUUAACAUCUGAACUCAACUUCCACAUGGUAUUCUACGUGUUUGUCGAUGCCGUGGUCAAGAAAGAAUCCCACCAAUUCCUCUUGAAUUGCUCGUAUGCGAUCUUGCGGUAGGAGGUCAUCCCGCGUCUGCCUCAUCUAUUUUCAAGAAGGGGGUCAAUACACAUAUAUGAAUGAAACUGAACACAAAUGAUAGUAAUAAAAUAAAAUUAUGAAUAUUAUUGCUUACGCACUUCAUAUUGUUGUUUAGAUUAGCCCCGCUCACAGGUGGUGCGGUGGAUGAACUCGCAAAUGUAGUAUCCACACAAAUCAUUUCCGGGUUCCUGCCACAACCACUUUACAAGAAAUAGAGGUCAAUCGAACUAAUAAGCAAGCAUGCUAAAAUGGUAUUAAUGAAACUAGCUAGAAUCAAUGGGAGAUGCGCGGAACUAGCUAGUAGCUAGUACUUACUUUCGGGUGGUCAAAUCGCAGUUGCGCCGGCAGUCCCGGAGCUUGUGCGGUGAACUUUUUCCAAACCCUGCCAGACAAAAAAAAAA
This 83121-nucleotide long non-coding RNA is filed under the name Triticum aestivum (bread wheat). Its description in RNAcentral is "long non-coding RNA (TAES_LNC015831)". Lineage: Eukaryota; Viridiplantae; Streptophyta; Magnoliopsida; Poales; Poaceae. The record is from RNAcentral.